GGGUGCGUCUCAUAUAUGCGCCAAAGAAGAACAUCACAUAUGAUGACAAAGUGUAUAGAGAUAAAUGUCACAAAUAUCAUUAUUACAUAGCGGAAGUCUUACAAAAAUAAAUAAGAACAAUAAAGUGAACUAAGUAUUAUUCCUUGAUGCCAUCAAGCUGACUGGGAGACGCCACCUAGAUAAGCUCGUACUCCUCGUUGUAGGUUUCCUCCUGAACCACCUGUUCUUCUCCUGUGGGGGGUUUAUAUAUCGCAAGGGUGCGAUCACAAAAGAUCAUAACUCAACAAGUUGUGGGUAAUAAUGUGCAUGAACACACCAAAGGUGGGAGUUCACGUGGAGUGUAAGGCUGAUCAAUAAAUAAGGGUUAAAGCUGAGCAUUGCUUUUAAUAAGUUGGUCAAGUUUUAUUAACAGUUACUAAAUGUAAGUAGAUAUCAAACCAGAUUAAUAAUAGAUCAAAAUUAAUAAUAAAACCACAAUGUGAUGCAAAAUGAUAAAGUGAGUUUAAUUCUAUAAAUUAAUCAUGCGAGAGUCUUGAGCUACUCAUGACCGCGAGCACUGCAGUAUACCAAUUUUACACUCUGCAGAGGUUGUACCCUUUACCCACAAGUCAUGUCACCCGGUUGCCAAGGGGUCUAGAAGUCCCAUUCAUCUCUACCGAGGAGACGAGGCAGGGUAACACUACGAGGCCUUUACAAAGUUCCACUAGCUUUAGAAAACUCGCUAUAGUUUCUAGGGAGCACAAUGCAGGAAUCCCCUGUCUGACCGCCAUCAUAGCAAAAUCAACCCAAGAACCUCCCUACACCGACAACUCCCCUACUGCCCUUACCCCUUUCGGGUAAGGUAGACCUCCACUAGCUUUCCUAAUUAGUCGACAAAGGGCGUCCCAUUCUACCCUUGUGGUGGCACAUGUUUCUCAAGUUAAGCUCCAUGUUCCAAUUAACAUAAUAGUCUUAUUAUGAACAGAAUAAAACAAUAAUAAUAAAGAAUGACCAUGUGUAAUAGCUAUCUCAACACCCAAAACCACAUAUAGCAAUAGCAAAGACUACCCAAAAGUUUAGGGGUAAACAAGGUGUAAAGAUGACCAAACUAGGGUGACCUAUUGGGUCCUAUUGAAAUUAAGCCUAUGCAUGCCAAAAUGAUUAUAGAGAACAUUAUUGGGUAAAUAAAGGUGCUUAAGGGCAUAACUUGCCUUCAAUGAGCUCCUGUUCAGUAGUUCCCACUUGCUGGGUACCGGGGUCCUCAAUCACUUGCUCCUCUACUCAAAACAAUACAAACAGACAUAGUACAGGGGAAAUUAACAUCACACCAAAUAGAGAGAUAUAAUGCAUGAUAAUAUUCUAUACAUCGUAACAAGAUCGUAGGUUCGAGAAUCACUAAAUUCGGAGUCACGGAUAAUAAGUUAUGAUUUUCCAAAGGUUUGAUGUGUUUGGUACAAAAAUAACCAAGUGAUUAAUUUUAAUAUAGAUUUAAUGCUAAAACAAAGUUACCAAGUGAUAAACAAUAUUAAAAAAAUAAAAUUAUUGUGAUUGGAAUGGAUUAAAAAGGAGUUAAAAUAAAUUUUCUAGGAAUUAAACAAGUUUUGGGGUUAUUUUAACACUAAAAUCAUUUUCUAAAUUGAUUUCUCAGAUUUUUCUAACUCCCUGGAUUGCGCGCACCAAUACUAGGAAGCUCAUGGGUCUAAAUCAAAGAGGUCAGGGCCUGGCUAUGAGGGUCUUCACAUAUGCAUGGACGGCGGGUCAAUUCCUAGAACCCCGAGGGCUCAUAUGCAUAAAGGUUCGGUUGAAGGGAUAUGGAGGGUGUUCUAGCCAUUAGAUCUGAAUCCAACGCACCAGAUUAAAUGAACCUCAUACUGAGUGGGUACGCGGCCACUGACGUUGGAUUAUCGAUCUACGACACAUGUUUCACAUACGCGCGAUCUAAAAUCCUCCGUACGAUCUAGAGUUAACGGCCAGGAUUCAAUUAUGUGCAAAGGGGUACGCACUUCUAAUCUGGACUGCCCAUAGCCGAUCGGAUGACCCAGAGGUCACCACUGUCCCCCCGACCUAACCGGGUGGCGCCGCCGAGCCCCCAUGGUGGAGCAGGCCGUCGGCGCUCUCCGCCUGAUGCCCCAAACUUGGAUUCCAAGUCUAAUGGCCAGCGCGCAACGUCCUAACCUUCCUAAACUCGAAAAUCUACUACACGCCGCCGAUUAACUUGCCCAGAUCCCUAACCACGGCGAACCGUGGCAAACCGAUGCCAGAGGGGCUCCAGUGACCAAUUCCUGUCCCGUCAAAGAAUAAUUCCCUCCCCCGCAUGACACUACACCUCAAGGAUUAGUCAAUGACAACAACGGAAGCGGGCAUACCCGUGGAUUUGUUGUGAUGGAGCGGGUCCACAGCGUGGGGUGGAACCGAGGCGAUGUCAAGCGACAGUGAGCGAUUUCGAUCGUGUCUUGCCCACAGCCACGACUCCGAUCUGUGCGUAGAGCACCAGAGGCCCCACAGCUCCACCAGCCCGGUCUCCGAGCACGAGCGCAACCCCCUCCAACCCCCUCUCACCCUUCCUCUUUCUUUCGACGCCCGCGAGGGAAUCCUGGCGAACAAGGGGAGAAGGAGGUGUCCGACUCUGGAUAUAUACCCAGGGAAGAGAAGCCGGUGGGCCCAAGCUGGUGCCGGCGGUUGCGAGGAUAGGGGGAAGCUCCACCACUUGAUUCCGGCACGGCCCGCUACAUACCCGGCGUUUGUUACACGAGGAGCACGAUGACAAUGUGGGUCCACCCGUCAGUGCGUGAUCAGGGCAGCAUGGAGUCGCGCAGAUGUGACUUGCUAACGACGGCCCCACCUGUCACCGAGAGAGAACCCAGCCGCAAGUGAAAACCCAACGCGCGCGGAGAAUGGGCCAAGUGGGCUGGUUUUGGGGUUUUGGCCCAAGCGGAGUGUUAGGGUUUUUUCUUUUUCUUUUUCUUUUCCUGAUCUCUUUUCUUUUUAUUUUUUGAAUCUCAAUUUCAUAUUCAAAUUUUGUUGCCAAAUUCUUACUCAGAUAAAAUAUACAAACUCAAAUAUUAGUAUGAAAAGUUUUAUUUAUAUAUGUAUUUUCUUUUGUAUUGUAUAACAUUUUCCCUUCUCUUUCUCCAAAUUCUAAAUUGCAAAUUAGGUCUUGAUUCCAAUUUGGAUAUUAAUGUAUUUCUAUUAUUAUUAUUAAAUGCACACGUAAAUAAACUCCAACAUGAUGCAUAAAUUUUUUAUGUGUCAUUAGUUAAUUGUUCAUGAAAGGGAAAUGGGCCUAAUCAUUUCCUAUAAUCGAUUUUGUUGUUUGACGUCCAUCAUAAACUACAUAGACUAAUUAGUUUGCCUAGAUGACUCUUAUCUCAGGUGCAUAAGGUUCAACACAAACCAAGAAAGAAAUUAAGUUGGGGACUCAAAUAAAUUUGGAGCAAAGGACUUGAGAGUGUGCUGCCAGUGUCCGGUGCACCAGGCCGAGCACCAAGCGAACAGGCCACUCUCGUGUUUCUCUAGGGCGCGCUCCGCUAUAAUUCACCGGACUGUCCGGUGUGCACCAGAUAUGUCCGGUGAGCCAACGGAGCAACGACUACCUAUCGCCAACAUGUCCGGUGUGGCAUCGGACUGUCCGAUGCAUCUACAGGAUAAGGGUUCCAACGUUCAAGUCGCUCCAAACCCCAACAGGCGUGAUGACGUGGCGCGCACCGAGCAGUGAACAGUACAUGUCCGGUGCGCCACCGAACUGUUCGGUGUGCCCAUCGCCAGUAAAAACAGCCAACGGCUAGGAAGUGAUUGGAGGCUAUAAAUACCCCCAACCACCUCCUUCAAUGGCAUCCAAGUUUUCUAAACUCCGUAUUCAUGGCAAGAGCAAAGCCAAACACUCCAAGACACAUUCAAAGCAUUCAAUCCACUCCAUGCUCCCAAAAUCAACUCUAGUGCUUAGAGGCUUGUGAGAGGAUUAUUUGUGUUCUCUUGUUGCUUGGAUUGCUUUCUCCUUCCCCAUUCUUAUUCUCUAAGUGCUUUGUAAAGCUAGUAAGAGAUACCUAAGUGUGUGGUGAUCCUUGCGGGGUCUUAGUGACCCAAGUGAUUAAGGAGAAGACUCAUCCGGUCUAAGUGACCGUUUGAGAGAGGGAAAUGGUUGAAAUAGACCCGGCCUUUGUGGCCUCCUCAAUGGGGACUAGGUUCUUUGGAACCGAACCUCGGUAAAACAAAUCACCGUGUUCACUUGUGUUGAUUUCCAUUUGAUUUGUUUCCCCUCUUUCCCCUCUAAAGUUCUCUUGCUCAUAUUGAUUUGAGUUUGCUCUCAAACGUUAUCCGCAUUGAUUGAGCAACUCUAAGCAAGGAGAACAAUCUUUCUAACUCCGAUUUAAUUCUAACGCUAACCUCGGCCCUAGUGCAAGUUUAAAGUUUGUAAAUUUCAGGUUUCGCCUAUUCACCCCCCUCUAGACGACUUUCAGUUCACUUUAAAUAUGGUUGUUCAUAUGUUCUAAUAAAUAGAGGGCAAACAUAUAAGGAGAUCAACUUUCUUUUCUCAUUAUUUACAAAUUGGGUAUUACACUGCCCCCAUGUUCUUAGGAUUCGAGUGCUUUCGGCCACCCGAUUGGAGUUUACUCUCCGACACAGUCUUUUCUAUUUUCACGAUGUCUUUUUUGAGGUGCUUUCGACAAUAUUAAAAAACUAGAUGGUAUUCGUUCCCGAUUCUUUUUAGCAUGGUGGACAUUUUAAAAAGAAAUAUAGAUUGACAAAAUGGAAGCUCAUUUGUCAACCUAAAGAGAUUGGAGGAUUGGGGGUAACUAAUUUAGCCAUUAAGAAUACUUGCUUACUCAGUAAGUGGCCCUUAAAGCUUCUGAAUAAAUACGAUACAUAACAUCUAUUUUUUAAAAAAAAUAUCUUGGUUCCAAAUUGCUUUCUCGAGUUGGGAGAAAGCAAGGGGACACAUAUUUCUGGUAUGGUCUUAUGAAUAUUAAGGAAGAAUUUAUGAGACGGGGGAGGUUUUGAGUAGGUGACGGUCGAGCAACCAGGUUCUGUGUCGACAAAUGGAUCCUAAAUACACCACUCAAGGACCGGUUUCCAAACCUCUAUAAUAUUGUGCGCAGGAAAAAUGUUUUAGUUAAAGAUGUGAUGAAUGAAAAUAUAACCAAAUUAUGCUUUCGUCAAGUUAUUGUUGGUGUAAAACAUGUGGAGUUGCAUAAUUUGUCAAAUUUAUUGGGAACUUUUCCUCUGGGCCAAACUAGAGACAAAUUUCUUUGGGAGCCAUAAAGAUGGACUUUUCUCGGUUUGAUCAAUGGACUUUCUUCUAAUGGAUACCCCCUUAAAUCUUAAUAGGUUGCUUUGGAAGCUAAAACUCUCUCUUAAAAUUUAAAUUUUCUUGUGGUACUUAGGAAAGAACAUUAUUUUCACUAAAGGUAACCUAACUAAGCGCAGGUGAAAAUGUAGUAUGAAAUGCAACUUUUGUGAUCAAAUUGAGAAUAUUCAGCGUCUUUUCUUUGAUUAUUACUUUGCUAGAAAUAUUUGGAGAAUCAUUAACUUUACUCUACAGAUAGAGAGACCUAUUAGUAUUAAUCAUUUAAUUAGAAAUUGGUAUGCUAACAAGGGAACCAUACAUAGAAAAAGACUCUUAAUUGGGAUGUCGGCAAUGUUUUGGGUCAUUUAGCUUUAUCGUAAUGAUGUGGCUCUUUUUUCUAAUGAUGUCGAUAAAUGAAGAAGACUAUAAAAUAUUACUCUUUUCGUCCACAAAAGUUAGCUGUUCUUAUAUUUCGAGGAGUCAAUCAUUUUUAAUUUUAACCAUAUUUAUAUAAGAAAAUAUUUAUAUUUAUAUUACAAAAUUUGUAUAUAUUUUUGUAGUAAAAUUAUUUGAAGAUAUAAAUGUUAUUAAUAUAUUAUAUAAAUAUAGUAAAACUUAGAAAAGUUUAAUCGAGCGAUAAGGAUGGAGGGAGUAGAACAUUUUCUUGCUUCCAUAAUAAAAAAAUGCGUGACGAUGACGUGCUCCACCAGUUUGACCGAGGUUUCUCUGCUACUGCUGACAUGAACUGUAUGGGCUGGCACCUCAGGGCGCAGAGGCGGGCCCAUGGUCCGGGUCCACGGAGUACACAGCAGCGCGGCGUCCGCUGCUCCAGAUCGGCCCUGCGGAAAAAAAUUUGCUGCAGCCCGGCGGUAAAGCAGGCUGUUUGCAGCCCUCACAAAAAAAGAAUAGACCCUAUCUAUAGGUCCACAACAAAUUUUUUUCCGGCCCUGCCGUCGUACUCGUACGUGCCAUCGUCUCUAUUUCCCGGACUACCUCCUUGGCACGUCCCGUCCCGUUCCGCACCUGCCUCCUGCCGGUCUGACGGCCUAUCGCCUACAGCAACAGAAAAACAAGAAACAGCCAUGGUGCGGGGGCAGAUGCGGCAAUUCUGAGCUCGGCACGCACGUGUCUUUAAAACGCCCUCGCUUCCUCCUCCGUCCGUUCUGCUCUUGCCCCCGCCACCGGCACGGGCCGGGGCCACGCUCGCCGCUCAACGCCGCCGCUGCAAGAGGCCGCGGGUGAUUAGCCUUGAGAUUAGCGGGUACCGCUUCACUGUUACGGGAGUACCGUUUUAAUUGACGCCCGCCUGUCUCGAAUAUCGGCUGCUGCCAAAAGCGCGGGUUCGGGGUUCCUCCCCGUCGGGCUCGGGCGGCCUCGGCUCGCCUCGUGGCGCCGCUGGGCGCUAGCGGAGUGGAAGUGGAUCGACCUGUUGCGGCCGAAGAGUGGGGAGGCAACAAAAGGGAAAGCUGCGCGGAGAGCUCGGGUACCGUGGCCGGAUUAGUUAAUGCCCGCGAGCAGCUAGUCGUAGGCGUAAUUAUUUUAAGGCAGUUGUCGCCUCUGGGGACUCGUGAAAGCUUCACCUCUUUUGAGAAGCUCCGCACCACGACCUCGUCCCGCCCGCAGCCCGCUCUUCCCCGCUCCACCUCCAGGCUUCCAGUCUCUCACUCUCCCGCGCCUCUUGCUGCUGCUGCUGGCGAUAGGGAUCCCAGCGCCUUCAAGUUCGGGUGGGCGGCUAGCGCGGCGCGUGUCGGCGAGCAUAUGGUGGGCAUUGGGCGGGGGAAGGAGGAGGAGGAGCGGCAAUAGAUUUGUGGGCGCAGAGGCGGGGAUGGGGGGCAACAAGUACUGCGCGGCGAUGACGAAGAGGAGAUGGAGGGGGCUGGCAGCGGCCGCGUGGGUGCUAGUCGCGGUGGCUUGCUCCGCGGUGAUGCACUGGACCAUGCGCCGGGAGAGCAUGGACCGCGCCGAGGAGCGCCUCGUCAGCAUGUGCGAGGAGAGGGCCAGGAUGCUGCAGGAGCAGUUCGGGGUCACCGUCAACCACGUCCACGCGAUCGCCAUUCUCAUCGCCACCUUCAACUACGAUAAGUCCCCUUCCGCUAUCGACCAGGUUCGUCACCAUUCGCCCCCCUCUUCUCCGCCAUUGCUCUUGUAGAUUGCUAUGCCACGGUAUCAAUUGGCAGUUGGUUUAGCAAUAGCGGACCCCGAGAUCCUACACAUUGUUCUGUGGGUUGUCUCUUUUCUUUAAAGGAGCAAACAGAAAAAAAAGGGGAGAAAUAGAGAUAUAGAGAUGCGUUGUUGUUUGUUGACGCUUACCGUCGUUUAGCACGCCAUGAUUGCUGUGGUUGGCUGGGACAGGUGCUGUUCAUAGUCUUGUGGAAAGAAAAAAAAUGUCCAUUCCUGCGGCGGUUAGGCGGGGAUUUUUUAGGCUUAUUGGAGACGUAGCUGAACUGAACUGUUGGGUUGGUGGCACAUUGUUUGUUCAUAGAGUGAUUAGUGUGUUCGCUGCAAAACCAUCUGGGGGUUACUUUGACAUCCAUUGGGGUGUGCUCUUUUGCCAACCUUUUGAUUCCUUGUUUAUUCUGAGAAAGGUCCCUGUCGCAGAGAUUAAAUUAUGUUAGAAGCUGCUUUCUGCCUCUCUUUUCUUUUGCUUAGAUUAUUGAUCCUCAAAGCCGUCCUUUCCUGCAUCUACACUUCGUUUCUCUUCCCCCCCUUUUUUUUUGUCGAUUUACCUAUAGUUUAGGCGUGCAGUGUCAUGGGCCCAUGUUAUUUGAAGACGUGCUCGUUUUUGCAUACAAUGACCAAUCUUAUUCGUUGCAUCAUUACUUUUGGUAAAUCAACAAGAUGUCUUCUUCUGAUUCUUGCAAUUUAUAGCAUAUUAUUGUCCAGUAUUCUAUUUUGGCUUAAUAAUUAAUGUCCGACACAGGACACUUUUGCAAAAUACACGGCAAGGACAUCAUUUGAGCGACCGCUACUCAAUGGGGUGGCAUAUGCACAGCGUGUAUUCCAUCAUGAGAGGGAAAUGUUUGAAAGCCAGCAGGGAUGGAUUAUGAAUACAAUGCAGCGGGAGCCUGCACCCCCGCAGGUUGAAUAUGCUCCAGUGAUUUUCUCUCAGGAUACUGUUUCCUACCUCGCACGCAUUGACAUGAUGUCUGGAGAGGUAUGGUUCUAUUUGAUCGAUCUUAGUAUUCAUUGGGGUGUUUAUGACCCUUUGAUGUCUCUUUAGUGAAAGCAAUCUAUUUAUUUACGAUACAGGAGGACCGAGAAAACAUUUUGCGGGCCAGGACUACUGGCAAAGCUGUGUUAACAAACCCAUUUCGGUUGCUUGGAUCAAACCACUUGGGAGUAGUUCUCACUUUUGCUGUGUACCGCCCUGAUCUCCCCGCUGAUGCAUCAGUUGAGCAACGUGUGGAAGCAACUAUUGGGUGAGAUGUUCUAACUCACAUCCUUUGUUGUUUUAUUUUUAACCAAAUAUUCUAGCAUUGUCGCCUUUAAGACUCAUGUUUAACAUGUGGGUAUGAAUAAAAUUUUGUGCACUAUUAUUUGAUCAUGUAAUAUCUUGUCAUCGUGUAUCAUGCCACAUUUGUGGUUCACUGAUCAAUACUGAAUUUAGGUUGACUAUGAUGACCUUAACAUGUCUAGUAACAGGUGAUAAUAGAAACAAUGUGUUUCUUUUUUAAAAAAGGUAUAGCGUGCUUAUGGCAGUUAUGGCAGGCACAUUUAGUAAUAGAUCAUGCAGGUUAUAAUCAUUGCAGCUUGUCUCAAUUUAAUCAAAUGAUACUCUAUGCUUAUCUAAUUUUCAAGAGAAUAAUUUGCUGUGUGCUCCCAGAUAUCUUGGUGGAGCGUUUGAUGUGGAGUCACUUGUGGAGAAUUUGCUGAGCAAACUUGCUGGCAAUCAGGAUAUUGUGGUGAAUGUCUAUGAUGUCACAAAUGCUUCAGAGGCUAUGGUUUUGUAUGGACCUUCUAGUUCGGAUGAGCGCGUGCCUUUCUUGCAUGUUAGCAUGUUGGAUUUUGGAGAUCCGUUUAGGAGGCAUGAAAUGAGGUGCAGGUUGGUAGUCCUUAUCUGUAAAUCUUAAUUUUCUUGGCUGCUUUUGUUUUCCACUAAUGUUGUCAACCUGCAGGUAUAGACAAAAGCUUCCUAUGCAGUGGUCUGCCAUAACCAAUCCUUUGGGCACAUUUGUCAUAUGGAUGCUUCUGGGGUAUAGCAUUGCCGCUGCAUAUUCUCGAUAUGACAAAGUUACAGAAGAUUGUAGAAAGAUGGAAGAGCUAAAAACGCAGGCAGAAGCUGCUGAUGUUGCAAAGUCUCAGGUUUGGCCUGUUCUUUAGCACUCUCAUUUACUAGGCAUUCUAGCAUAUGCAUCAUGUAUGGCUUAGCUUAUCUAUGUUUGUCUCUCUUGCAGUUCCUGGCAACUGUGUCACAUGAGAUCAGAACACCUAUGAAUGGCGUCCUUGGUACUUAUGCAUUUAUUUUGAUAUUACUUAAUCUUCAGUUCCGUGGGCCUAUCAAUCUAAUUUUUUUCCUUCUGGCGUAGGAAUGCUGGAUAUGCUUUUAGGAACAGAUCUAACUAUGACACAGAAGGAUUAUGCUCAAACUGCUCAAAUGUGUGGCAGAGCAUUGAUAACGUUGAUAAAUGAUGUCCUUGAUCGAGCAAAGAUUGAAGCUGGAAAGUUAGAGCUUGAAGCGGUGCCUUUUGACCUGCGUUCUCUCAUGGAUGAUGUUAUUUCCUUAUUUUCUUCAAAGUCACGGGAGAAGUGCAUUGAGGUAUGUUACUGUUAAUGCUUGAAGUAGGAAAUGAUGUUGCCUGGGCCAUCACUUGAAUGGAUAUUGAUUGCUUUUAGUCCUAGUUUUUGGCUGAGCAACUGACGAAUAAUGCAGUUUUGCCUGAACCAAUCUGUCACUAUACAUUGUGGCAUAUACUUUUCCUGAUCCUUUUCCUUCUUGCUGCAGCUUGCAGUAUUUGUAUGUGACAAUGUUCCGAAGGAUGUUCUUGGAGAUCCUUGGAGGUUUCGGCAGAUACUAACAAAUUUGGUCGGCAAUGCAGUCAAAGUAAGCAACCAUUUAUGGUAUUUGGUAUCCUCACACUACAACUUCGAAUGAUGUUGGUUAAGUCGUAGAUAAGUCUGUCAUCAAAUACAUUCAGAAAAAUGCGCUGAUAUAUUUAUCGUGUGUUCCAGUUCACAGAACGGGGUCAUGUAUUUGUGCGGGUCUGUUUGGCUGAUAACUCAAAUAUGGAAGCCGGUCAGGUCCUAAAUGGAGCCAUGAAUGGGAAAGAUGGUAGAGUUGAUUCAACAACUAAUGGUGCCUUCAAUACUCUGAGUGGGUUUGAAGCAGCAGACAGACGAAAUAGUUGGCAAUAUUUUAAGAUGCUCCUCUCUGAUAAGGAGUCCCUUUUGGAUGAUCUUGAGGGAACAAAUUCUGAUCAAAGUGAUUCAGACCAUGUCACACUAGCGAUAAGUAUUGAGGACACAGGUGUUGGGAUACCAUUGCAAGCACAAGAUCGUGUUUUUACACCGUUUAUGCAGGCUGAUAGUUCAACUUCAAGGAAUUAUGGUGGUACUGGCAUCGGUUUAAGCAUUAGCAAGUGCCUAGCUGAACUUAUGGGUGGGCAGAUAAGUUUUGUCAGCCGUCCUUUUGUUGGAAGUACAUUCACUUUCUCCACCACACUGAAGCGCUCAUACAAAGAUAUUUCAGUUGAUUCAAGUAGGAGCUUGUUAGAGGCACUACCAACUGCUUUUAAGGGAAUGAAGGCCAUCUUGAUAGAUGGGAGACCUGUACGUAGUGCUGUUACAAGAUAUCACCUCAAGAGGUUGGGAAUAAUUGUUCAAGUUGUGAACAAUAUGAGUGCAGUAGUAAAAGCUUUCCCUGGACAAAAUGGAGCAACUGUUUCUAGGUGAGUGUUCUUAAGUUAGUUUAUUAGAUGCUGGAGAUACAAUUGGCUGAGCAGUGAUUCACAUUUCAGUACUUUCCCUCACAUGGAGGCUCCCUCAACCGCAAGCCUUAUAUGUGAAAUGGGAGCUCUGUUUUAAAGGCGACGUCUAGGCGCCCCAACACUCCUAGGCGUUCCCGUCGCGUAGCUAAAUCAGCAAGAGGGCAGAGAGAAAGAAGGGGCGGCGCCGAAUCAGGCCGCCGGCGGCCGAUUCGGCCCCAGCGACAGCUGAAUCAGGGCGGCGGCGGCCGAAUCGGGGAUGGCGGCAGCAAAAUCAUGAGUGGCGGCGGCUGAAUCGUGUGAGGAGAGAAGGAAACCACGGCUGAAAAAGGGGAGGGGAGAAGGAAAGCAGCAGCUCAAUCGAGGGGGGAGAGGGGGGAAACAGGGGGAGAUAUAGGCUGGCUUCUUUUUCUUCCUCCUCCAUGCUGCUGUUUUAUGCUGCUGUUUUGUUGGUUCUCAUGUUGAUAAGGUGUCACCUUGCUCGUCUUAGUUGUCGCCUAGGCGUCCAGACCAGGUGGUAGUUCAACGUCUUAUCUUGCCUUACCGCUUUAAGAACCAUAAACGGGCUAGGGAACAUUUCUUUUAUUAAAUUGUGUGACUAAAGAUUUGAAUUCGAAACCUGGUUUUGUUACCAGCAUGUUAAGCUGCAUGCACUGACGGCCUCAACAAAGACCCUAAGGGCUGGUUUGGUGGACAGGGAAAUGAGAUCCCCUCCAUUUUUCUGUCCACCAAACCAGCCCUAAACUGGUGGGAAAGGCAGGCAACUCAUUAAUAUAUUUUACUACAUAUAAUAGAUAAACCGUCUAUGCCAUCAGUCUGUCCUGAAUAAGCUAUUUUCUUUUUUGAAAAAGUAUAGGACCCUAAAAUCCUUGACUGACCUUUUAUCCCCAAACUGUUUUGGGGAAUAGCAUAAAACAUUCUUAAAGCACCUGAAUAUGCACUUUAUAAUUGUUUUGUAUGACAUCUGAAAUCAUCACAUUUAUUCUCUUGUAGGGAAAAGGCAACCAUUCUUUUUAUUGAGAGUGACUUUUGGAGGCCCGAGACAGAUGUUCAGUUAUUGAACCAUCUACGCGAGCACAAGAAUCGUCAGUUGUCUGAUGGGCAUAAGGUAGUUCUUUUGGUCACCUCCGAAGCUGAUAAGGACAAGUAUGGAUCCAUAUUUGAUAUUGUGAUGUGCAAGCCUAUAAGGGCAAGCAUGAUUGCUUCAUCUAUUCAACAACUGCUCAAAGUAGAGAUGCCUGAAAGAAGAAAUAAUCAUAAUCGGCCAUCAUUUCUUCGCAGCCUGCUGGUUGGGAAGAAUAUAUUGGUAGUAGAUGAUAAUAAAGUCAAUCUUAGAGUCGCUGCAGCUGCACUCAAAAAGUACGGUGCUAAUGUUAGCUGUGUUGAGAGUGGCAAAGAUGCUAUCAGUCUACUUCAACCCCCACAUUGCUUUGACGCAUGUUUUAUGGAUGUUCAGAUGCCAGAGAUGGAUGGGUAUGGAUUAAAUAAAUAUAAACACGUUUGUCAUUUCCAUCAUGUUGUUUGAAGUUUGUUUGCUAGGUGAAGUAAAUCUCCCCACUGAUCAUCAGUUCUCAAUUAUUACUUUUUUAGGUUUGAGGCAACAAGACAAAUAAGGCAAACAGAGAUGAGAGUUAACGAGGAAAGGAAGAAUAAGUUGGUGUUGAUUGAAGGCUCAACAUUUGUUGAGUACCAUUUGCCUGUUUUGGCGAUGACAGCCGAUGUUAUCCAGGCAACUUACGAGAAGUGUAUAAAAUCGGGAAUGGAUGGAUACGUGUCUAAACCCUUCGACGAGGAGCAGCUAUACCAAGCAGUCUCCAGAUUAAUAGUGGGAACGACAGAUUCGACUGUUUAAUAUUUAGAUGGCUAUGAAUCUGAUUUCUCAUUCAUCGAAUUGAAGCACACCACCAUGUUGCUUCUGUCCAAGUUUGACUCUAACCCUUAACAAUUGUCUGACCUGGCCUCUCGCAGCACUAGAUGAAAAGGAUGAAAGUGCCACGAGUUGGCUAUGUAUCAGCACCACAGAUGAAGUUGCCUCACCCCGGAGUGUAGGUUGGUAGAUCACUCUCUUCUUUGAUGUUUAUAGGUUGUUGUAUAUCUUCUGACAAUUCAUUGGAAACCACAUCUCGUUGCGACAUUGGAGGACAUCUUCAAUGCUGGUAAAUUUGUUAUAGGAAUAUCCUUUAAUGCUGGUAUUUGGUACUCCCUCCGUCCCACCAAAAAUAUAAAAUUCGUUUUGGACUAAGCAUAUAUUAAUUAAUUAAUUUAUGGAUAUAAUUUGUAUAUAUAUCAACAUUUAUUAUCAUCUAUUUGAAUGUGGAUGGAAAAAAGUCUAUAAAGAACUAUAUUUAUAUUUUGAAAUGGAGGGAAUAAUAGAUACUCUACUUAACAUUGUCUACUCUUUGAUUGUGGCAACUGAACCCAUAUAUGCUAGUCAACAUCGAAGUGUCAACAAAUACCAACACUGAACAGGAAUGUCAUACCGCAAAUCCACAGAACGGAAAACCGCGCCUGGGCUAUAGCACGUCAGAUAGAUAGGAUGAAAAUGAGUUCUCUCUGCAUCUUAUUUCUGCCGAGCAGUGGUUCUCCUGCUGGUGACAUGUUGUGCGGACUUCCUAAUGUAAAAGCGUGCUAGAUGUCACCUCCUGUGACGACCGAGUGUGUCAGUGCGGUGCUGCGUGCCGGUACCAAAUCAAUGUGUGAUGUCAAAUGACGGGACACUCUUUGCGUGCAGUCCGUGUACCAAGCUACAGGGACGGAGGGAGUAGAUACAUAUAAAAUGGAGAAAAUCCGUUUAUUGCCAUCAAAACUUAUACUGAUCACUACAAUACCAUCUAAAAUGAUGUGCUCCCUUCAAAACCAUUGGUUUAUAUUUUCUAUCCUUUCAUUGCCAUUGCCGUUACAUGCCACUGUUAAGUGGUGCACGGGCCCACGUGUCACCUUUUAGAUGGCAUUUUGAAGCUAGCACGAGCUAGUAUGAUCUAGUUGGUACUGGAUCAAUUGAAUCUGAUAUGUGCACCCUUAAUUUUUAUUUCAUUUCAGUUAAGGCUCCACUCCAUUAAGGCCCACCGCGCUAAACUAUGUGCACACCAAUUUCAGCAGCAGCUACGUGUGAAAGAAUUAGGAUCCCCCAAAGCGUUUUCAGCCAAUCAUUAUCAUUGUAUAAUGGUAGAGUCGUAGAGAAGUACCGCUACCUGCUCAAAUCGAUCCUUCUAGCUAGGUAGCAUCUUGAAAUCUGGACACACCACUACUGAAAACAACAUCUUUGCCGAGUGUCUGAAGUACUCAGCAAAGAUGGGAAAACACUCGACGAAAGAUUUUACCGAGUGUGAUAAGGUAUUCUGGUAGUGCAGAUGUAUAAAUAUACUAUUUCAUAAAUCACCCUAGAUUCGUUCAUCUAUGUUACCAUCAUGACACAGUAGUAGUCACGAUAUCAAGUCGUGCUGCUACCGUAUCGCUUAGCUAUAGGUUAACAACCGACAUCCGAUACUUAGCUAUAGGUUAAUAACCGACAUCCGACAGAGUAAUCACGAUUUAUUUCUUAUAUGAGCCGUAAUAUUAGGAUUUGUGAUCGAUUGCAUGGCAUAUUGUUUCUCAUCUAGACCGAAAAGAAAGCAUAUAUUUAAUACUCCCUUUGUUCUAAAAUAUUUAAUGUAUUCAUUGAUAUUCAAAUAUUUGAUAUGACAUAAAUUAAAACUAAAUUUUAGCCAGGGGAAUCAAACACCCAUGCGGCCAAGAUUCUAGUACUGCUAGUAGAGUGGAAGAACAUUUUAGGAGGAUCUAUAGCAGCGUAUAUUUGCUAGCUUCUUUAUUAUCGACAAGAGUAACGGUGAUUUUUUUAAACUAAAUAUCAAGCUCAAACUAUUAAGUGUGAUCAAUGCCAUCUUAAUGGUGACAUGGGGCCAUGCAUCACUCAACACUGAGAUGUCAUUUGGUUUAUAAAAUGUAACGUAAAUGAUAAUGGUUCGCACUCGAUUACCAACGGUAAUAAGUUUGUAUAGAUCGGUGUCAAUUCCUAUUAUAUUAUUUGAUUAUGGUGCAUUUAAACAAACAUAAUUUAACGUUAUCUGUUACCCAUUAUAUUAAAAAUAUGUGAACCAAACAACACCUGAGAUGUAACGGCAAUUAUAUUGAAAGGAUAAAAAUAUAUAAAUAAAUGGUUUUGAAGGAAACAUAAUUUUAGAUGGCAUUGAAGUGAUUGAUAUAAAUUUUGAUAGUAUUGAAAGAAUUUUCUCUACAAAAUGACUAGCAGUGCGGCGUAUACGCGUACCGUGCAUGCUUCUGCCAGGUCAGGGCCUGCCUGCAUGAUGCGUCACCCUGCCAGGUCAGGCCUACCUCGAGCAGCACAUCGCACAUGGAAGUAGUAGUACUAGGUAGAGUAGAGUACGAGAGCAUCUGAGUAGAGUACGAGAGCAUCUGCAUCGCUGUGGCUGGUGUGCUGAGCUGCGCCAGGCGUCAGCCGACCGUUCAGCCUGAACGCCGGUGGACUGGCUGGACUGUACGGGGUAGAGAUGACAAUGGGUAAAUAUCUACCGGGUAUUAAUACCCCAUAUCCAUACCCACGACAAAAAAAUAACUCCACCGGGUCACCCAUAUACACUGGUGGGUAUGAAUUUAUCCCCAUACCCAUACCCACGUGGGUAUGGGUCACCCAUCGGGUCACCCGUACCCACAAAAUUAAACAUCUAUCAAAAUAUUAUAUUAUACAAAUAUCAAGUACAUCCAUCUAAAUAUCAUUACAAAAUUUCUAGCAUCAUUUAACCAUCCAUUCAACACACAUUGGGUGAAUUACAUGUUUCAUUACAUGGUCAUUAAAUUGUCGUUAAGCCUUCUAUGACAUAAUGGCCUAAAAGGUUAUUAAAUAGUAAAAAAGAUGGAUGACUAAAGUCUAAGUUCAUGCUUGGGCUAAGUUUAUAUUGGGUAUUUUAUACUCACGGGUUAACGAGUAUGGGUUAAGGUGGAACGUUCUAAUACCCAUUUACCCAUUGGGUGAAGAUUUUUGCCCAAUAACAGACCCACGAGUAGAAUAUUUAGCCCACAUACAUACCCUAAUGGAGUAAAUACCCAUCGGGUAUCGGGUCGCGGGUACCCAUUGCCAUCUCUAGUACGGGGUCACGGCAACAUGUUGGAGUCGGGCGGCGAUCAAUCUCCUAGACGGGGGCCCGAUCCCACGACAAGCAACGCGUAGAGUCGGCCCAAAAGGUUCGCAAGCCUGUUGGCCACUGCAUCUCCACCAAGUUAACUAAUUAUUAUUACGACUACUAGAUGUCAUUUUAGGUCGAUCCAAUUAUCCAAAACAAAUUAGAGCGAUGUGAGCAUAGGGCCCAAAAUAAUCAACCUGCUCGCCAGGUAUGUUACACGAUGAUAAAAACAAGUGACUUAAAAUAACUAGUAUAUAGCUCGUUCUAGCGCUACCAUCCAAUAAGAGGAGAGAGAUUAAUGGCGACAAUGACAACGCGAGUGGAGGGGUUAACGUCGACAACGGCGGCGAUGCAAGUGAGGAAAAGGGGGCGGCAGGGACGUAGGGGAGUCUGGAUGCGACGGGUUACGAGGGAGAGAGGGAGGAACGAGUGAUGAAGGAUGAUCCAAAUAAUAUUGUCUAUUAGAUUUGACUGAGUAAGGGAGAGAGAGUUAUCCAGCGAUCUGAACCGUUGGUUUUGUUGGUGUGUUAAGUCCGAGUGUAAUUUUUUUAGUGAAUCUAGUGAAGGUUAUGAGUGUGGUGGUGAUUUGGUUAGGUGGAUUUUGUAAAGUUUAAAGUGGUGGAUUCUUACACGAGCUAGGCUGGGGUGUCUUACCCACAUAUCGAAUUUGAGGGUAUGUUUUGUUGGAUGUACAAGAAGUGAUGGAAGGGACGGCCAUAAUUUCUAUAGUAUUUAGAUUAGAGUCACGUGGGUGCGAGAUAAACACCGGAGUAAUUUUUUGUGGCGGUGUGAUCCAAAAAAUCGAGAGGACGAUGUCGUCACCGCUUAAUCCUACUUUGACCUCGAACUAAACACACGGUAAAACUCUCUUGGAAACAAAGACCCCCAAUAAAUUUAAAUAAAAAACACCUAGAACUAUCUAAGGAUUAACUGACAAUUCAAACAGUAUAUGAUGAACUUUAAGAAGAAUACUUAGGCCGGACAGAUGGAAAAAGGAGAAACGACACAGACUUUAAUAAAAAACACCUAGAACUAUCUAAGGAGAAAGGGCUGCACAGACUUUAGAUGGAAGCACUUUAAGGUACCAAACUUGUUAAUAGAAAUCUAUCUAAUAGAUUAUACUAAUAGGUGAACAAUAUUAAUACUAUUUGUUAUUUGGAUUAUAAUAGAGUUGCUUGGGUGCAUUGGAUGGCACACAUGUAAAGGUGACUGUCCCAACUAAGCUGAAGGGGAGAUAUAGGUCAAGAAAAGGAGAAAUUGUGACAAAUGUGUUGGGUGUUUGUGCACCUGACAUGCAGUUUAUAUAUGUCUUACCUGGUUGGGAGGGUUCUGCACAUGACAGGCAUGUGCUUCGAGAUGCCAUCUCGAGGCGGAUGGAUUACGUGUCCCUCAAGGCGAGUUAUGUCCCUUCAUAUUGAAAAAACAAUUAUUUAGGCAUAGUUAUUGGUGUUAAACUUAUACUUUCUUUUUGAGAGCACCUAGAGGAGGGGUGAAUAGGUGAUCCUGUAACACUUAAAACUUAGGCCACAAAAACUUGGUUAAGUGUUAGUACAAUAACCGCCAAGUGGCUAGAGAGGAAUCUUCAACAAAACACAAUAACCAACAAGAUCAAUCACUGAGAUGGCACGGUGGUUAUCCCGUGGUUCGGCCAAGACCAACGCUUGCCUACUCCACGUUGUGGCGUCCCAACGGACGAGGGUUGCAAUCAACCCCUCUCAAGCGGUCCAAAGACCCACUUGAAUACCACAGUGUUUUUCUUGCUUUUUCUCAAUCCCGUUUGCGAGGAAUCUCCACAACUUGGAGCCUCUCACCCUUACACUUGAAAUUCACAAAGAAACACGGAGCAAGGGAGGGAUUAGCAACGCACUCAAGACAAGAAAUCACAGCAACACCACGCACACAAGUCGCAACGAGAGCUCACAACACAACUCAAUGAGUUCACCACUCAACUAGAGCUCUAAUUGCUAUCGCAAAGAAUCAAAGGCGCGGAAUCGAUGUCUUGGUGCUUAGGAAUGUUGUAGGAAUGCUUAGUGUGCUCCUCCAUGUGCCUAGGGGUCCCUUUUAUAGCCCCAAGGCAGCUAGGAGCCGUUGAGAGCAAUCUAGGAAGGCUGAUCUUGCCUUCUGUCGACUGGCGCACCGGACAGUCCGGUGCACACCGGACACUGUCCGGUGCCCGAUUUCUUUCCAAAUAUGGCGCAGUCGACCGUUGGCAGCCUGAGAGCCGUUGGCGCACCGAACAUGUCCGGUGCACACCGGACAGUCCGGUGCCCCCUUCUAGCCGUUGGCUUGGCCACGUGUCCCGCGCAGAUCGCGCGGCCGACCGUUGGCCCGGCCGACCGUUGGCUCACCGGACAGUCCGGUGCACACCGGACAGUCCGGUGAAUUAUAGCCGUACGUCGCUGGUGAAUUCCCGAGAGCGGCCACUUCACUCGAGCCAGCCUGGCGCACCGGACACUGUCCGGUGCACCACCGGACAGUCCGGUGCUCCCAGACUCAGCAGAUUCUUGGCUGCUCGAGCCAAGACACUUUCAAUUGGAUUUUUCCUGUUUCCAGCACUUAGAGACAAUACAUUAGUCCAUAAAGCAAUGUACUAAGUCUGAGAAACAUACAUUUAUCCUUGAUUUGUACUUUGUCCACCUUUUUACACUUAGGCACUUGUGUUGGACACUAAAUCACCAAAAUACUUAGAAAUGGCCCAAGGGCACAUUUCCCUUUCACUUUUUUCCAUGUUAAGGUUGCUAUUAUCUUGUUGAUGCUGGUUACACAAAUGCAAAUGGUUUCUUAGCACCAUAUCGAGGACAUAGGUAUCAUCUAGGAGGUUUCACUACUCAAAACCCACCACAUAGUGCUAAGGAGUACUUCAACUUGUGCCAUGCUAGAGCUAGGAAUAUUGUUGAGAGGGCAUUUGGAAGGCUCAAGGGUCGGUGGGGAAUUUUAAGGUCUCCAUCGUUUUUCCAGUCAAGACUCAAAGUCGAAUUAUAAUGGCAUGUGCCCUCUUGCACAACUUAAUUUUGCAAAAUAUGUCUAGAGACCCAUUUGAAAAUGAUGAGGAGCCAGCUAUGGAUGCAUCAUUUGAAGUUAUGGAUGGAGAAAUCAGUGAACCAGAAUUUAUCACGUGUGUCUCAACAUCUAAUGAAUGGACUGAUUUCCGCAAUAAUCUUGCUCAGGGGAUGUAUAAUAGAUAUAGAGCUAGGUCUAAUAACUAAGGUUUGUAUCUUUUGUCUUUGAUGUUAUUCAUUAUUUUUGGCAUGUUGCUUAUACUUUCAUAAAUACUUCUUGUAGGACAUGAACCAAUCAGAGAGCUCAAGUGUUGCUCGGGGAAGAGGGAAAAACAAAAGGAUCUGGACUUAUUAUGAGGAUGAGGAGUUAAUUAAAGCACUAUAUGAGAUAUCUUUAGAUCCAAAGUGGAAAAGCGAGGGAGGUUUUAAGAAUGGGUAUUGUUCUGUUCUAGAAAAUGAACUCAAAGCAAGGCUACCAGGGUGUGGUCUCAGUGCUAUUCCACACAUUGAGUCUAGAGUGAGGCAUUUUAGGACCAAGUAUGGUGCUAUUGAGGUCAUGCUUGCUAAGAGUGGUUUUAAUUGGGAUGACAACAGAAAAAUGGUGCAAUGUGAGAAACAACAAUAUUAAGCCCAUUGUAAGGUAACAACAUCUCCUACCUUGGUUUCUGAAUAUACUACACAAGUUCAUACACAAUUUAGUCUACUGUAUUAUUGAUGAAAAGUUUGUUUCUUUGUAGGAUAAUCCUGAUGCAAAGGGACUUUAUGGUAUUGCAUUUCCACAUUUUGAUACCUUGGCUGCUAUAUAUGGCAAGGACAUAGCUACUGGAGAAGGGGCCGAGGGGCUUGGUGAGGCUGUAAUUAACAUGGAGAAAGAAAUAGCUAUGGGAGAAGAUUGUCCAGUAGUGGAAGAGGAUAUGGUUUCUAUGGAUACACCACAAUGGUCUAUGGAUAAUAGGAACUCAGAUCAUUCAACUUCAUCGAGCAGCAAAAGAAGGAAGAAACACAAAGAUAAUAUGUCAAGUGACCCAUUCUUGGAUCUAGCAAGUGGAAUUCGUGGUGAUCUUAACAAAACCUCACAACACUUUGGAAGGAUGGUAGAAGUGAUGGAGAUGGAAGCAAAAAAAAAAGGAUCAAAUGCAAGAGUUACAAGAGAAGUUUGUUGUUGAGUUGACUAGACUUGGUUUUGGUGAAGCUCAAAGGAAGUGACUUGUUAAAUUAUCAAUGAAGAAUGUCAUGAGCAUUUGGUGAAGAGUGAUCGGCAUAUAAACUCCUGAAAGUUGCUUAGAUCUACUUGAGCAAGUAGAUAUGUUUACCGGUGAAACAUAUGUUUACCUGAAGACCAAGUACUCUGCGGUCUAUAAGUUGCUUGCUAAUCAUGUGUGCCGCUGCCCGCUGCGCGGUAGGGUAGUCCUUGAACACUCUUGCCGACACUAGCUAGUUUCCAGUAGACCUAAAACUAACAGACAUAGUACACAACGACGCUUUAGGCUAGGCUGCACUAUAGAUGUCCAAACGGGCCACCCGGCACGGACCCGGCCCGAACCCGUUUCGGCCCGGUACGAAUAGGGCCGGGCCAGGCACGGCCCGUUGAUGCUUCGGGCCGGGUCGGGCUGGCCCACGUGCCUAAGGACAUGCCCAAACCUGGCACGCACAGGGAAAAAUCGUGCCGGGCCGGCCCGUUGGCCUGGUGGGCCUCAAUGGACCGGGCCGGACACUGGCCCGAACCAACAGUAGAACGGUAUAUAAAUACAUAUAUUUAACAUAAUUAAUCAUAUAUAAUAACAUAUUAUUUAUAUAUAUUAAGACAACAAAAUAUUUAUGUAUGCAUUUUAUAUUUAUGUAUGCAUUUUAUAUAUGUUUGGCCGCGUAUUUAGUAUUUACAUACUAUGAGAGAAUUAAAUAUAUUUACAUAUUUAGUAUUUACAUAAAUAUGCGGGCCGCCGUCGGGCCGACCUAUUUAUCGGGCCGGGCCGGGCCAAAGCACGCGGGCCGCCGUAUCUGCCCAUACCCGGCCCGCUAAACGGGCCGUGCCGGCCCGGGCCCGUAACCGAUCGGGCCGGGCCGUAUUUGGACCGGGCUAAAUUCGUGCCGUGCCACGGGCCAAACGGGCGGCCCGCACUGUUUGGACAUCUAUAGGCUGCACUAACAAAUACAAACACCAAGCAGCUGCAGAGAACGACGACCGUCCUGCAACAAAUAAAGAACUCCAAGGCUAGGACUGCAGCAGAUGGAGCAUACACAUACGCACACCAGACACCGCGAGUUUGCUUAGCUGCUGCUGGCAUCAAGAUGGUAAUCAAGUCCAAACGGGCGAGACGAACGGAAAGGGGGUGACACCGAUCGACCUCGACCGCACGCACCACGCCCCUGCACGCUACGCAACUCAAUAUUACAUACAGACGACUGCGGCACGUCGCCUACUGCCAGUUGGCCGUGCGUAUUCCAUGCACGGCCAACUCAUCACAAGUCACCGAUCGAGACCGGCCAAACUACGUACAUGGAGACGUUCAGAAAUGAAGGCUCCGGUCGUCUCCCUUUUUUUUUUCAUGCAACGCUUGUAGCUAGUAGUAUGCAUGCAUAUGCAUGUGGCUGGGCCGGCGGCGCGUUGGAUUGGAACCAUCAGAUUUGGUACACUGCAUGCAAAGUUGCAAACUCGUGUCGACAGGUGGCGCGCUAUAUGUCAUAUCGAUCUGCUACAGUCUGAUCGACUUCAACGCACAGAUUUGGCUAAGUUAGGUGCCUGUAUUUGACUCACGGGUAGUCCAUCGAUCGUUAAACACACAAGACGUGAUGCAGUCGAGCGACUGUACGUAUCCAUUAUUUGUUUUUUUUUAAAAUGGAACAGAUCCCCUGACAACCAAACUAAACUCUGGAUCAUUUUCUGGCAGAGAGAGACUGACAAAUCGGUGUGGUUAGCAUGCUAGUAUAGCAGCACCAAAUCAGAGUUCAGCAGAGAGAGAGAGAAAAGAGAGAAAAAAAAAGGUAGAGUCGAAGACUUCGAAACGAGAGAAAAAAAUAAAAAAAACGUUUGAAUCCUCUGGAGUUGUCAACGACCUCUCGGUCUGGGCGGUUCGGUAGUGCCUAACAUCAACUGUGCGUCGGUAGCUAGUGCCAUCCUAAGGGCCUGUUUGUUUACCCCAAUGGAUUAUAUAAUCUGGAUUAUUUUUGAAAGAUUAUAUAAUCUGGAUUAUAUAAUUUGGAUUAUAUAAUCUGAGUAGUCUUGUUUGUUUAUCUAGAUUAUCUGGCGUGUUUCUGUUGGGCGGCGGGCUUCUCCGAUCCGAUAGGCGCAAAAACGAUUCGGUAGAUUAUAAUGGCAAUGGUGGGUAAUUUCUAGGAAACUUGAAAGGGUAGUGGGGAAGUGGGAAAAAAAUAAUCUGAAAUAAGCACCUCCUCACUUGCUUAUGGAUUAUCAUAAUCCAAGGGGUUAGAUUAUAUAAUCUGGGCAAAUAAGCUAGACUGUUUGUUUGCCUCUUAGGAUUAUUUAAUCCAGAUUAUAUAAUCUGGAGGGUAAACAAACAGGCCCUAACUCCCGUUUUGACUCCAGGAGCUUAUAUAAUUGGUUUUUUUUUCUUGCAGGGAAACAAAUUAUAGUAGUAGUUUUUUUUUCUUGCAGGGAAACAAAUUAUAGUAGUAAUUGUUUCGCCGUGCCGUCCCACGCCCCGAAAGACAGAUAUUCCGUGUGGCCCACGCCGCCCGGACACCGUCAGAGUCAGACAGCACGUUGACAACGUGGCGAAAGCAUAAAGCAACUCCGGGCGGCAAGGUCAGGCCACCGCGCGAGAGGCGGCAGGACGCCACCCAGAUGGAGCGACAGACAGACAGACAGACAGCGAGCCGUGCCGAAGCAGGAGAUCGACCGCAGCAACGCAAUAGAUAUAGGGCCUGUUUGGUUCGGUUUUUUUGUGAAGAGCUUUUCUGAAAAGCUGGCUAUGGUGAAAAGCUGGCUGUGCAGAGAAGCUGGUGGUUAGAAUCUAGGUGUUUGGUUCGACUGCUGUGGAGAAAAGCUGGUGGUUAGAAUUUGGGUGUUUGGAUACGCAGAUUCUGAGAUUGUAGAUUCUGAUUCAAAAAAGGAAACAGAUAUAUACACCGAACCAACAAGAAGGUCAUUACAUUAAAAUUAGUAGAGUUCAUUAUAACAUAACUAUCGGUACAUUGACAUAUUAAACUACAACACUAAUGCAUUAGCAAUUGCAUCUCGAAAUGCACUCAUGUCUAACUCAUCAGAUGUGGUACUACUGCUCUCAUCUAUGGGUACAUCAUGAGCAAGGCUAGUAGGUACAAGUUGGUCAAAGUCUCGAUCGUGUAGAGCACUGUCUCGAAUAAAGUUAUGCAAUGCCAUGCAAGCAAUAAUUAUCUUGGAUUUCUUCCUAAGCGAAAAUGAAGGUAGAUUCUAAGUGAAAAAAGGAAACAGGCAAAGACACAAUAAUCAACGCCUCAUUACAAUAAUAGUUUUAAUAAUCUAGAUCAGUCACAAUAACCAGAUCGAACCACAAUACCAUAAACCCAAAAUAAAUAAAUUGAUACAUAUAUGUACGAUUCAACAAAAAAUCAAAGUAAUGCUCAAGUCGAAGUUGAAGCGUUAGCUUUGUUAACAAAGGAAUCAUGCAUCACUAAUUCAACAAGUCACUAGAUACAUCGUAUGGCACAAAGCAACCGUCUAUCAGGUUCGGCAUGGUGGCACUGUACUGCACUGCAGGACGACUGACGACCGAGAAGCGGUUGGGAUUCCUGGAGACGCGAGGGAGUGACCGCUUUUCUCCAACAGCUGCAUAUCCACUUAUCUUUAAAGCGCUUCGCCUCGCAGUCAGCAUGGAAUCUACGCGUUUGGAUGAACCGGACGGAUUAUGGCCGCCAGAAGCCGCUCAAAAGCGGAAACAAACGGGAUCAUAGGUAUGGAUAAAUAACCGUACAUACUAACAGAUAUGAAUAUGGUGGAAUUUGACAUCCGCGAAUACGGUUAUAGAUAUAAUAAGUUAUCCACGGAUAAUUUUUUCGCGGGUAUGAAUAUACAGUAUCCAUACCCGUUACCUAAUGAAUAUCUGAUAUGUAGGUCAUCCAGAUUUAAUAUAUUAUCAUAAAUUCUCAUUUUUCAAUUCUUAUCCAUGACAUGUUGUUUGAUGCUGAAAUUAUCAAUUAGUGUUGCUGGAAUGAUAAUUAUUUUGAAAUGUGAUAAAAUUGUUGUUUGAUGUUGAAUGCUAAAAUUAUAGUUGGCGGGCGCAAGGGCGGAUUUGGGCCCCGGGCCACCUGGGCCGUGGCCCGGGGCGCAGCCUAAAAGUCCUCUUGUUUAUAGUUUUUUCUAGCUAAAAAAUCUUGCUUAAAAUACAUUUCAGCCUAAAAAUGUGGUCUAAAAGACCUCCUGCUUGUAGCGAUUGAGCCUAACGCUGGCGGCUUCCCUUAAUCGCUCGAGUCACGAGAACACAGACUCUUCCAAUUAUUUCGCAAACAUGUGUAGCUGCGCUUCCUAUAUUGCCAGCGGCACGAUCGCCUCCCUCCAGUACUCUAUCAUUCUCCACGCCUUUGGGAUCCACGGAUCCGGCAAGGGCAUAAGCCAGCAACCUCCGAGGCGGUCGGGCGGGCUCUGACUCAAGCAUCUGCCACCGCCAGUCCGCCUCUAGCCUCCCUGCGACCCUGCAGCAGCGACACGCGCGCGUCCAGCACUGGCACCAUGCCACCGCCCAUGCAAAUUCGCCCCUGUCAUUACAUCUUCUCCCAAGUUAUACAACUUCCUCAACCUUAUUCCCUUUUUUUCUUAUUCAUAGGCGAGGGCGGAGCGCCUCCCUGGCCAAUGGGCAGCGACCGUCUGCUGCCCUGUGCCCGUGAUUCUCCUCUAUUGUAAGUAAUUGUUCUCGAAUGUCUGAUCCCCUUUCCCUACCUGUCAUCGUUUCACUGGAUUGUUUUAAAUGUUACUACCUCGUUCUUAAAUAUUUAUAGCUAGUUCAUUUUUGAACUAAAUCGCGAAAAAUAAAAAGACAGAGUAGCGCAUCAUUACAUUUGUAGAGUGGCCUGAGGCGUUAAUUUUACGGAGCUUCGCCACUGGGCGGGCGGGUAACGGGUAUGAAUUCGCGAACUAUAUAUUCGUAUACUACCCGUCCGAUUAUCAUCCCUAAACGCAACGAGACGGCGCGGGCAGCCAACACCCAACAACAGAUUCGAACAAAACGGCACAUCGCCGCCGCCGCCGCCGUCCUUUGUUUUUCUCCCCCCCUAAACACGCUUUGAACCAACGGGGGUGUUCCUUUAAACCUGACAGUGAUUACGAAACCGAGUGGUAACUUUUACUGGAGUAUUAUUACUUAUCUUCCUCCGCUAAAGAAAUUAGAGUAGUGCUAAAACUUCUCAUGCGUGAUACAUACAUACAUACCUGACUGUGAGCCGUGUAUCUUAUAAUAACUGGAUGGUUGAAAAAUCAAGUGUCGACAGCCUUAAAAAACUCAGGUGUGGGGGUAUCUUGGUUUCCAGAAAGGUUUGCCUCGUGAAGAAGUACCAGUGCGUAUAUUAAUUUGCGCAACAAGAAGAUACUAGAACAACAACGCUCGCCAUUAUCAGGCCAACUUGAACAACGAGAGCGGUAGUUCACUUGUUCAAUCAAACCUCUCGAGACUCCACAAAAAAAAAGGAAGAAAGAAAAGCCUUUUGCCCGAAAAGAAACAAAUUUCCGUGAGUAGUAGCUAUAUAUACCUCGCUAAAGAUAUAUAACCCGACUAAACUAAGGAGGCAUGCACGCGGUGGAAGAUCCGUGCCGCCGACGCGUCGACGUCGGCGAUCAUCACAGAAAGAAAACGAGAUUAAUUAAGUGCUUGGAUCACGUACACAAAAGCAAAAGGGCGAUCGAUGAGGUGGUGCUUUCCAUUUAAUUUCCCCCCCUUGCUUCACAGAACAGUUUACGAGGAGAGGAGGGACGUGCCAACAGCACGCUCUAUAUAUAGAGAGCCGGGGACAAAAACGAAUGAAAACGAGCGCCAUGAAACGUCUGGUUGUUAGCGUUAUUAAACUAGUAGUACUGUACAAUAAAGCAUCUGGCGCUAACAGCAAAUCACAGGAAUAAAGAGGGACGACGGAGACUAGCAGCAUGCAUGACUAGCGUCGACCAAUUAAUUAAGCGACGGAGAUGCAUGCAUGCGAGCAAGAAGCUUCCAAAUUCCGACGACGUCCGUGUCCGAGGGACACGUACAAAUCGCAUAUAUUUGGUGCGAAAUAGAAAAUCUGGAUGGACUGGUGAAUAAUAUGCGUGUUCUACAGUUGACGUACGGUGCCUGGUUCGUCCAAUGGACGAUGGAUGGAGACAAGCGACGACGGAGGAAAAAAAAAGCUGGGAAAUUAAGGGCUUGUUCGUUUUCUUUCCAAUCCAUGUGGAUUGGAAAGGAUUGGAUGAGUUUUAAUCCAUAGCAAGUCAAAAUCUCUACUAAUUUUUUCUAAUCCCAUCCAAUCCAUGCGAUAUAGGAAUAACCGAACAAGGCCUAAAGGGGAGGCCACAGGCCAGGACAGGAGGGUCCAAAUCGUUACAGCCGGUGAGUGAGUGAGUGAGUCCCUGUCCAUCCAGGAGGGUUCGCGUACACGCACAAAGAAUAGGUUAGUACACUGUUACACAUAUAUGGUUGCUGAGAAAAGACGCGAGGCAAAUCCAACGGCCAACAACAGAGCCCUGGUCACCGCACGUCCGCACCUGUCGUCCCGAGCCGAAAAUGAUGCUGCGGCGCGAUCGGUAUAACUACGCGCUAGAGUAGUAUAGUCGUCUCAUGGUGAUUUACUUGCCGAUAGGUAUAAUCCAAAAGCUUGGCAGUACUAGAUGCAUGCAUGUAUAUUUUUUGUCUGUAAAAAGAAAGUCAGCCAUUGACUCGCGGAUCGGUUGACCAAGACGGCAGGGCAGCAGCAUGCAGGGCGUGCCGUGCAGGCAACUAUUAGAUCCUGCUGGCGAGAUGAUGCUCGCGGUUAAUGUGCCGGAGUCAUCUCAGUGCAACAAUAGCUAAACUGGGAGAGCCCAACCUAACACCUACUAUGUAAUAUAAUAUUCUAGCAUAAUCUACUAGACAUGCUAUCAUGUGGUAAGGAGGACGAAGUCGCAGCCUUUUCAGCUAAUCAUCAGAAGAACUGGGAAAAAAACAUGGGCCGGUAAAAUCGGAUUGCAUUGCAUUUCCGCUGCUGACAACUCACCAACCAGACCAGCGUCACGUAAGCCUGGAGGAGCACGUGAAGGCAUGCGCGCGAAGCUGCCGACGACUGGGCUCGAUUUGUCGCGGUCGUACGCCGGUGCAGUGCGACUGCGACUGCGAGUGGGCAGUAGAGCAGGAGCGGUACGUGUCCGCCCCGGCCCCCAACCCCAACCCAACCGAUGCAGGAUCUCCGCCCAGUCCAGAGGCCCCCUCGCCUCCGGUCGUCCGGCGCCCAGUCAAAAUCUGCCUUGCUUGCGCGCGUCGCCAAUGGCAAGGCCGAGUCCACAUCCACCCCAAACCAUGACCUCACCAAAGCCCGAACGAAUCCAUCCCCUCCCUCCAAACCCCACGGCACCGUCUAGCUAUUCCAUCGGGGACCCAACCAAUUCAACAUUCCGCGCGCGGGCGCUUGUGUUGUGUGUCGUGUCGGGCAGGGGUCGCAGUCGCAGCAGGCACUAGGCAGGCAGGUUAUAAGACGCGCGCGCGCGCGCGCCGCUCGGAACAGAGGAGGACUGGAUCAGGAGUCGAGAGGGAAGAAGACAGCCCACAAAGCAGCCGGCGCCGCGCGGGGACUCUCCCCGCCCAAUGAGUAGCGCCGCUUCGUCCCCGUGCCACCGGCUCCGCCGCGUCGCGCUGCUGCUGCUCGUUGCCGCGGUCCUCGCCGGUGGAACCGAGGGGAAGGCGCACGACUACGGGGACGCGCUGCGCAAGAGCCUGCUCUACUUCGAGGCGCAGCGCUCGGGCCGCCUCCCGCACAGCCAGCGCGUCGCAUGGCGCCACCACUCCGGCCUCACCGACGGGCUCGAGCAAGGGGUACGUACGUACGUUGCGUCGUCGCCGACGACGGCACCGUUCCGUCCCGGAGUCGAGACUCUCGAGAUGGUGUUCCGUUCCGUGAACGAACGAUCUCAGCUGAUCGAUCGGCCCGUCGUCAAGUCAGCUAACAUGGCUGCCUUUUUCUCUCUCUCUAUGAAUGGUGAUCGCGCGCGCCACAGGUGGACUUGGUGGGAGGAUACUACGACGCCGGGGACCACGUCAAGUUCGGCCUGCCCAUGGCGUUCACCGUCACCAUGCUGUCGUGGAGCCUGAUCGAGUACGGCGGCGACGUCGCGGACGCCGGCGAGCUCGGCCACGCGCUCGAGGCCGUCAAGUGGGGCACCGACUACUUCAUCAAGGCGCACACCAGGCCCGACGAGCUCUGGGCUGAGGUACGGUUAAUUACACGAUCCACCGCGUCGCUCCAUCAUCCAGUCAUCUCGAUCACCUCACCGUGACUUGGCGAAAGCUAGCUCUGUUACACACGCGCAAAAAUUAAAGAAUAUUUCUCUCUGGUGAGUGGUGAAUAGCAACAGCUAGCCCGCCCGGGUUGGUUGGACGUACGAAACAGUCGCAAUAAGUAAUGCAGUUCCACAUGGCUAGGCUAGCUGCUCUCGGUCGAUGCCAAAGCAAGUGUGUUGACAGUUUCGUGCGCGCAGGUGGGCGACGGCGACACGGACCACUACUGCUGGCAGCGGCCGGAGGACAUGACGACGUCGCGGCAGGCGUACAAGGUCGACCGGGACCACCCGGGCUCCGACGUCGCCGGCGAGACCGCGGCGGCCAUGGCGGCCGCGUCCAUCGUCUUCCGCGGCUCCAACCCGCACUACGCGCACCUCCUCCUGCACCACGCCCAGCAGGUAAUAAAUACAGCGAUGUGAUGGUCCGUGUUUUUGUUGUUGUUGUUGCUAUGGUUCGUGAAAAUCACUCGAAAAAAAAUGCGGUGGACUUGCGGUAAUACCGGUACGUACGCGUCCGCCACGCCUACCGAACUUUGGACCGUCACGACCGCCUGCAGCUGCAGGCAGGCUGCUAGCUGCUCUAGUCAAGAUGUGCCGGACAUGGACAGCUUCUUCUUGGCAGGGGCGUUUGGAAGGUGUGUUCUUUCUUCGUUGUGCUGUGUGUGCCAGUCCUCUCGUCCGCGGGCACAUGCCAAGCUGUGAGCACGACCUUUUUCAGAUGAGAGGUUUCUGUCGGUUCGUAGGGGAUGCCAUGUGUGUGGAGCCGGCCGGCGCGCGACCUAACGCGAAAAAAGAACGGAGAAAAGUGGGGAGCUACCAUCUGGUGGCGCGGUCUCCAUGAUUAUGUCGACAGUUCAACCGCAUGAACUGCUUAGAAACAAAGAAAUGUAAACGUCAUCAUGUGCUUUGCUAAUUCAGCCAGUCCUUUUUUUGUUUUCGUUUAUUUUAUUUUAAAACAGUCUUUUUUUUGUUUUCGUUUAUUUUCGUGUUAGGACCUGCACGGUUUCACCUAUAUCUUUUUUUUUCUCUCUCUCUUUGUAUCUCUGCAGCUGUUCGAGUUCGCCGACAAGUACAGGGGGACAUACGACAGCAGCAUCGCGGAGGUGAAGAGCUACUACGCGUCGGUGAGCGGGUACAAGGACGAGCUACUGUGGGCCGCCCUGUGGCUCCACCGCGCCACCGGCAGAGAUGACUACCUCGACUACGUCGUCGACAACGCCGACAGCUUCGGCGGCACCGGCUGGGCCAUCAACGAGUUCAGCUGGGACGUCAAGUACGCCGGCGUCCAGAUCCUAGCGGCAAGGGUGAGUGUCGGUGCACGUAACAAUGCCAGCUGCCAGCAGCGCGUAAAGAGUCGCGGCCUCGCGGGACUGAUCGACGCGUGCAUCCGUACUGCUUGUUUCAGCUGCUGCUGAGAGGGGAGCACGCGCCGCGCCACCGGAGCACGCUGGAGCGGUACAGGGCCAAGGCGGAGCGGUACGUGUGCGCGUGCCUGGGCCGGAACACGGAGGGCGGCGCGGACGCCAACGUGGAGCGCAGCCCCGGCGGGAUGCUCUACGUCCGGCAGUGGAACAACAUGCAGUACGUGACCGGCGCCGCGCUCCUUCUCUCCGCCUACUCCGACUACCUGGCGGCCGCCGAGGCCGGCGGCGCCGCCCGGGCCGUGUCGUGCGCGGCGGCGGCCGAGGAGGUGUUCGCGCUCGCCAGGGCGCAGGCGGACUACGUGCUGGGCACCAACCCCCGGGGCGCCAGCUACCUCGUCGGCUACGGCUCCAGGUACCCCGGCCGGGUGCACCACCGCGCCGCGUCCAUCGUGCCGUACAAGCACAGCAGGGAGUUCAUCGGCUGCACGCAGGGGUUCGACCACUGGUUCGGCCGGCGGGGCUCCAACCCCAAUUUGCUCGUCGGCGCGAUCGUCGGCGGGCCGGACAGGCGCGACAGGUUCAGGGACAGCCGCGACAACUACAUGCAGACGGAGGCCUGCACGUACAAUACGGCCCCGAUGGUCGGCGUAUUCGCUAAGCUGCGCCGGAUGGCGUGGCUGGAGCGGGAACAGGGGUCCACGUCGGUGCCCGUCACCGUCACGUCCACGGCGGCCGAGGUGUAAAUAGAUAGGAUGUAGAGGAAGGGGGCUGUACAAUUUUCCCCAUUCUUUAGUUCAUUUUUUUCGAGCUUUGAAUUUCAUUUUACACAGAUCGAGGUUAUUGUAUACGAGAAAGAAAAAAAAGAGAAAAGGGUGGAGGCGCCUACAUGCAUGUGCAAUUCUGCAAAAUGUAAAUUCACUACUGGUACAUAUGGAGAAAUUUGACAUUAUGAAACACGGAGGGUUCGGCUUCGACGAAAUGGAGGUCUAGGAGAGAGUUUCUUCCUUAUGAAACAGCUGGACAUAGCCAACACUUUAAAAUGGACAUGACUAAACCAUUAACAGGUAACGACGAUCUUAUACUCACGCCGUCAUUUUGCCGUUACCAGGAGACUAUACGUGAGCCCUUCUUCUCUCUCUAGCUGCCGUUCACGCCCAACCAAAACAAGUUCUCAACCAAACCCUAUCCGCCGCCGCACCCUAGCCGCCGCACCUUGCCGCCGCACACUAGCCGCCGCACUCAAAACACCAUGGAUCGAACUGCUCCCGUCGUCGCUGUUGCAGAGGCUGUUGAUGCUGCUCGUGCCGCGGCUGUUGCUGCGGCGGAGGCAAGAUGCGCGGCUGUGGUGGCUGAGAAGGAGGCUCGAGCGGCGGUGCAAUCUGCGACAAUUGCCGCCGAUAAGGUUGGACUAGUUGUCGAAGCUGUCAAGUAUCGAAGCUUUGUUGAAGAUAACUCCAUGGUGACUGAUUUUCUUUCUCCCUUCCUUUGCCGCAUGUGGAAUAAGGUCUGUUCUUCACAAGUAUUUGAACUAGUUUUAUUUGUACAGGAACAUGUUGAUUUUAAGUAUCACGUUAGCGUGAAGAACUCACUACGAUAUGCCAUUCAAGAGAUGAGGAGGCAAUCUUCACUGUUACGUACCAUUAAUGGGCUGUGUUGUAGUAUCCCAGAAGUUGAAGGGGGUAAGGUUGGAAAGCUAGCUGGCCAUUUGAAGGAUGUCUGCAAGAGCCUCGAGAAGACUUCAAGUGUGUGUGAAGAAGAUCUAGAGAAUAAAUGUCCUGGUUGGGACCUUCAUCAUCCCCCUUCAGAUGUUGAAGACAACACCCACCCUUCUCAUGUUGAGGACCCAAUGGAUGGAUACGUGUCAGAAGAUCCGGAGUUGUGGCAAAUGGUGUUUGAUGACUUGCAGUGGGAGGAGAAUAAAGUGGCUGUCUCUUUGGCCGAGCAUUGUCGUAUUAUGGGCUACGACUAUGACCAGAUGUUUGAUCGUACUAUUUGAGUUGUCAAGACUAUUAGUAUGCAGACUUUUGUGAUGUCAAGACAUUCUGUUCGUGUCAAGACAUAAUGUUAUGAACUUUUAAUCUGUGAGGUGGUUGUGUUUAUGUAAGACUCUCUAUGUGGUUGUAACAGAAUUUGUGCUCAUGUUCUGUGAUGUCAAGACAUUAUGUUCACAUUCUGUUUCUAUCUAUGCCCAGAUUCCCAGUUGUAUUUGGUUCACAUUAUUUUCAGCAGUACAUUCUGUUUCUAUCUAUGCCCAGAUUUUCAGCAGUACAUUCUGUUUAUAUGCCCAGUUAGUGUGGCGGAACUGCCCGAGUUAUUCCGACUUAAGUGCCUAAGUCCCGCCUUAGAGGCAAGACCACACUUAAAUGGGAAUAACCCGUCAAUCCCUCGGAUCUAGUCCGACGAGGCCACUGACAGGAUCAAGUACCACAAUCUCACUCGAUGGUGAGUCACAGAGCAAAUACAAUAAAGCAUAAAACCAUACAUUAAGGAGUAUUAAAUUAUUACAUCACCAUCAGAGUUUUGCACAAGUAGUCAUCAUUGUUCGAAGUGCAGCGGAAUAAACUAAUGAUAGAUAAAUGGAGGGAUGGGGAAGCUUGUCCCAUCACUCCUCAUGCUCCUACUCAGCCGAGGCGGGGUCCCACUCGACAGUCCAACCCGGUGGCAAGAUGGACGGUCAAGUCACUCCAGCAACCAUGUCCUCCAAAGAACCUGUAAAAUUAUGCCACAAGCAAGGCUGAGUAUACUAAUACUCAGCUAGACUUACCCGGUGUGAGGAGUCUACUCCUCUACCUCUAGACAUGCAUCUGUUUGGCUGUGGGGUUUGGUUGCCAAAAGCACUAGCUGAGUUUCUGAAUCAAGUUUUAACUUUGUCAAAUUUAAGUGUGACUCUCUUAAUGCUAAAUAUGUACUAACUACUCAUACAUAGUAGCAAACAUUUUUAGCAAUCAACAUCUUGUAUCAACUCAUCAUAUUUCCACUUGUUACUCAAUGUAGCAGCAUGGAUCAAGCAGUCUCAUUAGCUGCGAGAAGCAGACGAUUCGAAUCGAGUUUUUAUCCUUGCAAGGUAAACCUAAACACACGACGUGUAGGGGCACUCCAUCCCCACACACAUCAACCGUCCCCAUCGAUUCCCUGGCAACAGAUCAGGGCUCACCGCCUUGGCGUACAAUGCCUCACUGACCCCGACUGCCGUCGUGCAGUGACCGCACUUGUACCCACCAUAACCGGAAUGGGAGACCACGUCUCAGGUCGCGUGAGGGGUAAAGUCUGCGGGUAGGUUCACUCAGGUACUAGGCUUACCGAUUUACUAUAUUUCUCGGUAUGUGUUUAGUACGUUCAAACGCUUGACUCACGGUACCACACCUUAAUCCUUAUUCAAAUUUUUAUCCCGUGGACAACCAAUCCCCAUGGAUUGUUGUCCACAACCAGCAUCAUUAUGAGAAGAAAGUGGAUACAACCAAUUUCCUGACCUCGCGCGAGUGCUAGAAAAAUCACUCGACUUCUACCGAGAUCCUAAUUAAUAAAGCAGCUACCUCGACCUAGCAUACUAGUAUUCAUCUCAAAAAGGAUUCCUGAGAUCAUGCAACUAGGGUUUCAAACAACUCCUACACCUAAGUGCACAAUCAAUUCUACAAUCAUUAAGUGUAGUAAAAUAGCAUAAAUAACAGGUUAUGCAUAAACCGGGGCUUGCCUUCCAAAGCAGUGGCAGGCAGAUCCUCUAGUGCAGGCUCUGGUGCUGGAUCCGGGGCUACCUCCUGAGCAGCUCCUUGCUCCGGCACGAGGACGUACUCUCCGUCAGCGAUGUUACAGUCUAUCGAAAUGCAAUGAAUAUGUAUGUCAUGAUUAUGCAGGAUUUAAUAACAUUAUGCUAAAGGAAGAAAAACUAAGUUAGUUGGCAACUUAGGGUUCAUUGGUCAUACGUGGCUUUUAGUGGUUUAUGCUUAUCACUCUAGGUUUAGGUUUUGUUAAGGAUAAGCAUAGUGGAUUGGUAUUUCCUUUAUAUAUUUCAGUGGACAAUUUACAAAGGGUUUUAGGAUGACACUAAUUUCCAUUAUUCAUUUUCUCUUUCUUUAUUUUCUAUUUAUGAAUUCUAGUGUAGGUUUGAACUACAACAGUGAAAUAACUUUUUCCAAAAAUUCUGUAAAAAUUACAGUGGCUUGCCAUUGGUCAAUAUAGCCUGUUCUAGGAAUUUGAGGUUCAAAAAUAAAAAGGCUAUGCUUUAGACAAAAAUAACAAAAGUUGUGUAAAUGGGUCACUUUGUACUACAACUCUUAACUAGGGGUGGGUUCUGUCCUAAGGGUUAUUUUUGUUGGCAUCUAAAAGUAAUAAUACGCUUCUGUGCCAAAAAUCAGAGAAAGCUAAGGGAUGGUUAUUUAGUUGUGAUUUUCCAAAGUUUAAUGCCAAAAAGGCACUUUCUACUGCCUUGCUAUUUGAAAAAUGUCAAACAACAGAUUUCAUAUUUUUCCUAAGUUCUUAAUAAUAAAACAUUAAUUAUCCCAAGGUUUGGGGUGUUUUCACCUUAAGGUUAUUUUUCUAGGGUUUUUCUAAGUUUUUCUAAGUUUUCCUUGUUUUCUUAAAAUAAAAGGUAUCCCAAUUAUUUUGUACUAAACCAGAGUAUAAUAGAUUUUUCUAGUGAACUAUAGACUAACCAAAAUAGGGGUGCCCCUGGUUCCUUAAUUAAAUCACCUUUCUUAUUUUCUUUAACUUUAAGCACAAUGUGAAAUAAAUGGCAAACUCUACCUUAAUGGGGUGUACAGAGGGGUUUAUCAUUUUUAAAUAGAUCAGUAGGUGGUCAUGCACUUCUCCAAAUUUUCUUAACCUCAGUUAAAUAGUGCAACUAUUUUUCUUCCUAUUAUUUAGCUUUUGGCCAAAACAAUAAUUAAAUCAGAACCCUAAAGUUUUCUGUAGCAUAUAGGGGUUUUAUAUUUUUCUUAAGUAGUUUAUAUUAUUUAAGAUCUGACAAAAUUGGUUUGACUCAAUUUGGAUGAAUAAAACAGAAGAUAUGAAUUAUUCAAGUUCUGUUUAAAUUUUAAAUCAGAUUUAAUAAAAGGUUUCCUGGAAAACCACUUUGCACCGGGGUCCUUGGGUUAUUUCCAAACUAACUCUCUCAGUUAUACCCCCGCGCUACUAUUUCUCUGAGUCACUGACAUUGCGCAAAACCCUCUAGCUUUCUCUUCUUCUCCCCCGCGGUCCCUCCCUAGGUUUAAACAGUACCCGCGAGAAAGAAAAGGGCGGCGCGGCUUACCGGCGGUGAGAGAAGUCCGGCGAGGGGCGGGGUUGGCUCUGGGAGGUCCUGGCGGUCACAACAGUGUAAGGCUCGACGGCGGGGGUGGCCGGAAUCGUCCGGUCCACGUGCGCAGGCGGGUGCUCUCGUCAGCGGCGGGUGUUCCGGCCAAACCACGGCGACCUAGUUCAAUCCAAUGGCACAGUGAGCCUCACGGGGUGACGUAGAGGCUGUGUGCACAAGGAAUCGAGGAAUCGAGCAGAGGAUUACCCGGUCUACGCUCGCCGGCGGUCGGGUGGAGUCCGGUGACCGUGGACUGGCCUCUCCGGCGAAGCAAACUCCGAUUCCUCGCUCGGGGAGCUUCACCGAGGUGUGCUCAGUAUUCUCCAAGGGUCGGACGGGGUUGGGAAGGGUUCUGUUGGCCGGUCUACGGUGGCAGGGGGAUCGGGCGGCCGCGGACACGCCGUGCACGGGCAAACGCCGGCGGGUUUGGGCUCCGGUGAGGUCGAGCGCGUGCGGAGGGGUACGGUCGAAGUCCCUGGGGGCUUUAUAGGCGCGGGCGCGGGCCAUGGCGCCGGCUUGGCUUUGGCGCGACGCGGGGCACGCGGGGGCGCGCGCGGGCGUGCUCUGGCGAGCUCAGAGCGCGUCGAACACGUGGCUCUUUGCUUCUGUCCGUGUUCUUCCCUCUGCUGAGCGGCCAAAACGUACGAAUCUUGCCCUAGAGCCUGUGAGAGACUUCUUCCCUACACCUAGAGCUACCUAGUUCAUGUGAGUUCCAAGGGUAGAUGUGGUCGGGUUAGAGAGAUAUGGGGGUGGGAAGUCGGCUAUGUCAGAGAUGUCCAAACCGAGACAAAAAUGGUGCCAAGUCGUGUCAAACGUCUUAGGGUAGGUGUCAACUUUUUCCAGGGCAUUCUAGGGUUAAUUUGGCGCCACUUUGUCAAUUGGGUCGAAGUGUUUUGAAGUUUGAAUGAGGGUGCACAUGUGUGAUCUUUGGCCAAAGGUUAGUUUUGGACUUAGGCAAUUUCUGAAUUUUCUUUUGUGCUCAAACCUUUGGUGAACCUUUUGGGGCUUUUCUGAAAUCUUUUUGGGGUUACUUUCUUACUAUUAUUUGUAGGUUAUUAAGUGUACUACAACUUUCACUACAGGAAACGCCUAAAUUUUCGUGGGCCUAGAUAUUUUCGUCGGUCGGCCCACGAAAAUAAAUAGUUAUUUUCGUCGGCCUACGGAACCGACGAAAAUACACCUUAUUUUCGUGGGCCCGUACCUAUUUUCGUCGGCCUGCCCACGAAAAUAGGAACGACAUUUUCGUGGGCCUCGAGACCGACGAAAAUGAGGUUUAUUUUCGUCGGUCCACGCCAGGCCGACGAACAUAAGUCAUGUAUUUUCGUCGGUCUUCUCCCGGCCGACGAAAAUACGACAUUAACUGACCACUAUUUUCGUCGGCCUCAGUGAGGCCGACGAAAAUAGUGGUCCGUUAAUCGGCCACAGCGCGCAGUUUCUCUCUCUCGCUCGGCAGUCACUCUUCGCGCCGCCGCCCGCCCGACCUCCGUCGCCGCGCCGCCGUCGUAGCCCGCCCCGCGUCCUCGCCUCGCGCCCUCGCCGAGCCGCAACGCCGCCCAUCCUCACGCGCCCUCACCCGCUGCGCGCCCGCCGUCGCCGCUGCGCGCCCGCCGUCGCCGCCGCGCGCCCGCCGCUACGCGCCCGCCUCGCGCCCGCCGAGCCGCUGCGUCGCCGGCUCGCGCCCGCCGAGCCGCAGCGCGCCCGCCUCGCGCCCGCCGCGCCGCCGCUCGCCCGCCGCGCCGCCCUCGCCUCGCGCCCUCGCCUCUCGAAGGGGCACCCACUGCGCGGCAGCCUCGCCCCCACCACCGCCCUCGGCCCGAGAGCCUCGGGCACCGGCUCUCUCCACCGCACCGAGCUCCGCCUCGCCUCCUAGUCCGACAGGUAAAAUUUUAAAUUUUUUUAGUUACUUAGCACAUGGUAAAGUGAGUAUAUAGUUAGUGAGUAUAUAGUUAGCAUAUACUUGUAGGAAAGUUAGUGAGUAUAUAGUUAGCAUAUACUUGUAGCAUAUUGUUUAGCAUAUACUGGUAGGAAAGUUAGUGAGUAUAUAGUUAGCAUAUACUUGUAGCAUAUUGUUUAGCAUAUACUGGUCAGCAUAUUGUUUAUUAUGUAGCUAUCGUGUAGUUUUCUGUGUUGGCAACCAUCGUGUUGUCGUUUAUUUGCAGGUUUUAGAAACAUCAGUUUAUAGGGGAGGUGCUGCCGAAUUUUUUACUGACAAUAAUAUUUUUUGUACAUAGGUGUUCUUCCGACUUGACCUUCUCCACCGUUAGCUAGACUCGUACAUUAUUCUCAGGUAUACAUUGUUUUCGUAAUUUCUCAGGUAUACAUUAUUCUCAGUUUUAAUCGUUAACCGUAGUGAACCGUAUGCGUCACCCGUUCGGGAACGGCGAACGUCACAUUGGCUUGUGAGGUUCGCCGUUCCGGAAUUGUCCACGUAUUUUGGACAGCCUGAGAGUGUAAGCCGAUGCUUGUGAUUUGUGACAUGUGCCUUACGAUUGACGCGGAAUUUCGGUUGUGUAACCCAGUUGUUCUCCAACACACCAUGUUCAGGUGUGUGCUUGGAGAGCAGCGGGGUUAUGCUGCCGAAAUUUAGCGACAAUCAUAGGCUACACGUCAUAAAUCACAAGCAUCAGCCUACACUCUUGGGUGGGUUUAGGGCCUUUACCUAAUAGGGAGUUCACCUAAUUAAGCCACGGACGAUCGUUGAUGUUCUUUGACUUUUGUUUAGCCUUUAAAAUGGACGGUGAUCGGAGGGUGAUGUAUGACGGGUGGAGAAAGGAUGGGGCACAUUCGAAUGAAUGGAUGGGUGUAACAAAGGCUUUUCUUGAGCACGCUUUCAAAGAUGCAAGUGGUCGUCUAGUGAAGUGUCCUUGCAAUCGCUGCGAGAACAAGUGGCCUCAGAAGAAGGAAGAAAUGGAGAAACACCUUUGCAAAAGUGGGUUUAUGCCGAACUACCUUGUAUGGUACCGGCAUGGAGAGUCUAUUAGACACGUUGACGCGGAGGUGGAGCUUGAUGACGAUCAUGAUAGGAUGGACGAUAUGUUGCAUGAUCUUGGUAGGGAGGUUGAAAUGAACGCUGAGGAGCCGGGGCAGCUUCCACGCGAUGCUCAAGAAUUCUUCCGGCUACUCGCCGCGGGAGAAGAGAGACUGCACGAGCACACUCAGAUGUCAGUUCUUGGGACUCUCACAAGACUAAUGGCGAUAAAGUCGAAGCACAACAUUUCAAACAGUGCUUACAACGACAUCGUCCAACUUAUGGGCGAGGUUCUCCCGGAGAAUCAUAAGUUGCCAAAGAAUAUGUACUUCGCAAAGAAGAUGUUGGCUGGUCUUGGGAUGACAUAUGAGAAUAUCGACGUGUGUCCCAACAGUUGCAUGCCAUUCUUUGAGGAGGAUGACAAGCUGGACCGUUGUAAGCAUUGUGAAGCUUCUAGAUAUGUCGAGGUGACAAAUGAUGAGGGUGAAUUGGUAGUUACGAAGGUCGCAGCUAAGCAACUUCGUCGGUUGCCCAUCAUUCCUCGGCUUUCAAGGCUGUUCCUCAACAAGGAAAUAGCUCUGCAUAUGACGUGGCCAAAGAAUGGUGUACGUCUCGUCACUGAUCCAGACAUAAUGGUCCAUCCGUCGGACGGUGAUGCGUGGAAGGCAUUUGACGAGUUUGAUCCCGAAUUUGCAAACGACCCUAGGAGUGUACGGCUUGGUCUAUCGACGGACGGAUUCACACCUUUCAAUACCAGUGCAAGCCCUUACUCGUGUUGGCCUGUCUUCAUUGUGCCAUAUAAUCUUCCUCCUAAGUUGGUCAAUAAAGAAGAGUUCAUGUUCCUUGCACUAGUCAUCCCAGGCCCCGAGCAUCCAGGGCCAAAGCUGAAUACGUUUGUUCGCCCUUUAAUCGAAGAGCUGAAACAAUUGUGGAGAGGUGUGAAGGCUUAUGACAGCCAUACUGAAAAGGAGUUUACCAUGCGCGCUGCUUAUUUGUGGUCAGUGCAUGAUCUGCUGGCAUAUGGAGAUUGGUCUGGAUGGUGUGUCCAUGGUCGGUUGUGCUGUCCCAUAUGUAUGAAUGAUACGGAUGCAUUCAGAUUGAAGCAUGGUGGGAAAGUGUCAUUCUUUGAUGCUCAUCGACGUUGGACUCCAUUCAAGCAUGAUUUUAGGAAUUCGCUUACUGCAUUCAGAGGUGGAGCCAAAAUCAGAAAUGGGCCACCAAAGAGGCAAACUGCACCGCAGAUAAUGGCAUGGCAUGCUUGUCUGAAGCAAGGAGAAAAUGAUAGGUUCCAAGGCUACGGGGAGGACCAUAACUGGACCCAUAUUUCAUCAAUAUGGGAGCUUCCGUAUGCAAAAGCCUUGAUCAUGCCGCACAACAUAGACUUGAUGCACCAAGAGCGUAACGUUGCUGAAAGCAUCAUAAGCACAUGUUUCGAUGUGACUGAUAAAACGAAAGAUAAUAUGAAGGCAAGAAAAGACAUGGCUGAAAUUUGUAAGAGGCCGAUGCUCGAGUUGAAAGUAAGCGAUAAAGGGCAUGAAAGUAGGCCGCGAGCUGAUUACUGCCUCAAGCCGGAUGAAAGGAAAGAAAUAUUUAAGUGGUUGAAGAAUCUGAAAUUUCCAGAUCGGUAUGCGGCAAAUCUGAAACGGGCAGUCAAUCUGAAGACCGGUAAAUUGAUCGGUUUGAAAAGCCAUGACUACCAUAUUAUUAUGGAGAGGCUGAUGCCCGUGAUGUUUCGAGGCUAUUUUAAGGAUGAGCUUUGGAGCAUAUUUGCAGAGUUGAGUUACUUCUAUAGGGAAGUAUGCGCAAAGACGGUAUCGAAGAGGUUGAUGCAGAAAUUUGAGAAAGAAAUUCCAAUUCUUAUUUGUAAAUUUGAAAAGGUUUUCCCGCCAGGAUUCUUCAAUGUGAUGCAACAUCUAAUUGUGAUUCAAGCGACUUAAUUGAAGAACCUAGGUCAAAGCGCAAACGACCUGUCGUCGUUAGAAGAUCAGUAAGGAUCCAACGAAAUCAAGAGCGUAUGAAUAAACAACGAGCCGAAGAAGCAUCAUCGGAUGCGAAUGACUUUUGAUUAGUAUGUUUCUUUUAGUUAAUCAAUUAAGCUAUGUAUUCCAAUUUCCACAUUAUUAAUUUUCAUAUUAUUUGUUUCAUAUACUGUGGUUUGACAUUAAUUUAUCUACAGUUGAACAUGUUCAAGCAUAGGAGAUCGAGGAGGAGUGAGGGCAGCGCGGCCAGCGAGGACAGCUCGGGCAGUGGGCUUUUUCAGGGCACCUCACAGAGCCGACAGAGGCAGCAACAACUUCUCGACUGUCUAGACGAAGUGCAGGGCGAGGAGGGUGAGCAGGAGACUCCUCAGCAGGAUGCUCAUGUGCAGGGUGAGGAGGGUGAGCAGGAUGACGAGGGUGAGCAGGAUGAGGAGGUUGACCCAAUGGGGGCAGGCAUCGCGGGCGACGCGUCAGAUGGUUCUACGUCCUUCAGGUAUUAUUAUGCAUAUUACUUUAAUUGAUAUUAGUUUCUAAUCAUUUCAUCAUAUUGAAUUUACUUGUAUACUUAGGUAUAAGAAGAGCAAUGCGCUUGGUCCGAGACCUGCCGAGAGGAGGCUCAUCCGGCCGCAUGGAGAAUGGUGGGGCUUAUUUCUGUUUUGUUAAUUUUUUAAUGUGAACGUGAUUGCACUAGUUUACUUGUUUUAUUAAUUUUUGUAGGUCAUGGGAAGACUUGACUUGGGACGGUACAGGCAGACGUCCCAAGGUGAACGCGGUGUUGGGUAGCCUCUGUCGCUUCUACUACCCUGGCAUGGUGGAGCUCAAUGGCGAGAGGUUCGCGGCUAUGCAGUGGGCUGACUGGGGUCUAAAGGACUAUGUCGAGCCAGGGGAGUCAGGGGAAAGCAGUAGCGGAGGGGGAAGUUCGGAAAAAAAACGAAGGACUUGUCAGGUGGCUGUGUGGGACGAGUUCUGGGUGAGUUUACUUUCGUAUAUAAGCAAUUCAUUGAAUUAUUGCUUCACCUAAUCUUACUUUAACUUAACUUCUCCAUUGAUAUGUAGGGGAGGUUCCAAUUGCCGGAUGACAUCGAGAAGGAUCAGGCUCAGUGGACACGUGUGAAGAGGCACUUUCGGGAGUGCGCUGAUAAGAUAAUCAAGGAUGCCAUGUACAAUGCUCGCAUCGCGGCCGUCAACUACUACUACAAGAAGAUAAAGGGUCAGAAAAUGAGCAAAGCAUUAGGGGCCAAUGAGAUCUACCUCACAGAGGAGCAGUACCUAGAGAGCGUUGUGGAUUGGCUGUCCAAGGACAUGGAAGCCUGGAGGUGGUUGGCUAAGAGAUGGGCGUCGCCUGAGUGGAUUGCAGAGUCCAACAAGCACCGUGCCAACCGUGGCACUGAAGGACCGGGGCACAGGUACGGCGCCGAUGGACACCUUGGUACCGCACGCCGCAUGGUAAGUAUAUAAAUCAAACUUGUAUGUUACAUCUAUGAAAAUUAUAUGGUUUAACUCUUCUUUUUCAUGCAGGAAGCUGAAAGUGGAGUUGCUCCAAGUUUUAUGGAGGUUUACGUCCGUGGUCACCGUGGCCCUGAUCCGGCGAACCCUGAUGUGCUAUGCAGCGAGGCGGCAAGGGAGAAAAUGGUAAACAAGUUUGUAUUUACGAAUUAAAUUGCAUGUUUUGUGUCUAACUCCAACUUUCUUUGCAGAAUGCAUAUGGGGAGGAAAUGACUCAACGCCAUGGGCCUGACUUCGACUGGAUGCAUUCAGACUUAGAUGCCUCGGCGUUGUACCAUAGUGGUGGGGGUAGAAAGCAUGGCAGGUGAGGUGUUUGUGUUUGAUUCGACGAUUUCAUUAACAAGAAUGUGUCCACUUAAUUGCUCAACUAUGUGUAUCAUGCAGGUUUGCCUUUGGCACCGGCGUUGUGGAGUACAACAGGACUAUAGGUCAAGGGAAGGCAUCGUCUUCGGGAGGGAGUUCUCGCUCCUCCAGGUCUGCUCGAGAGGCUCAGCUGGAGGAGGAGACUCGGGCAGCACAGGAGCAGGCUCGAGCAGCACAGGAGCAGGCUCGAGCAGCGCAGGAGCAGGUUGGGCAGCUGACGCAAUAUAUGGCUUCUUAUUUUCAGGUAAUUCGUCUAUCUCAUCACGUGUCGUCUUUGAAUUCAAAGUAUAAUGUUGCGAUUCUAACGUUGCAUCCAUUUGCAGGAAAUGACUACUCGACUCGGCCCUGAUAUGAACUUGCCCGCUUUUCGCCCUCCCCAGGUAACACUAUCUGAACACUUCAAUUCCAUAGCAACUCUUUCUUUAUUAUCAAAAAUGGCUCGCAGGCACAAGGAUGGGGACAGUGGCCAGGACAAGCUCCAGCGUCGCAGCCACAGUGGACCGGUGUUGGGUGGACGCAGGCACCUCCAGGCACUUGGACGCCUCCACCCCAAGGAUCGCAGCCAGUCCCGGGAUGGGUGCCACCGGUCUCCCAGCCACCGGCGGGCUCUCAGCCAUUUCAAGCGUGGAUGGCACCGCCACCGACGGGGUGGGUGCCACCACCUAUGGGGUGGCCAGCACAACAGUACCUGUGGAUGCAUGCACAACCUCCUCCUCACCAUGGAUCACAGGUGACAUUCCAUGUUUAGUUUUAUGCAAAUAUUGACCAAACACAACAAUGUAUAUGUAUACAACCUUAUUUGAAUGAUUGAUGAAUUGCAGGGUUCAGCGUCACAUGCUCAUGGAUCGGAGGGUGGUGUCAACGUCCAAGACUUCCUCGUCCAUGGUGCUGGAGGGAGUGGCCACCUUCCUGGUGGCGGAGGAGGGAGUGGCCAAAACUCCCACAGCCCGCCGGAGUGAUCAGUGAGGAGUGAGUUGUGAGUAGUUAGUAGCUUAUGGACUUAUGGACUCUAGACUUAUGGACUAGAGUUUUGUGAAUUGUGUAUUUGAAUGGACAAUGGACUUUUGGACUUAUGGAUACUCUAGACUUAUUAUGUAUAUGUGAAUGUGUUUUGUGAAUUAUGUAUUAGGCUUGUGAAUCUGUAUAUGUGAAUUGUGAUAUUGUGUAUAUUGCUGUGAAUUAUUAAUAGGUGCAGAAAAAUCUGUUUUGGGGGGGGGGGGGAACCAACAAUUUUCGUCGGCCUCGGUGGUGGCCGACGAAAAUAUGUUCCCAGGCUAUUUUCGUCGGCCACCACCGGGGCCGACGAAAAUAUGUUCCCAGGCUAUUUUCGUCGGCCACCACUGAGGCCGACGAAAAUAUCCUGGCGUAUUUUUGUCGGCCACAACCGGCCGACGAAAAUAAAUGGUCGACGCACUAUUUUCGUCGGUUUUAGCAAGGCCGACGAAAAUAGUUUAGUUUCGUCGGUACCGACGAAAAUACCCGCCUAUUUUCGUCGAACUUAUUUUCGGCGGCUAUUUUCGUCGGCCUGCCGACGAAAAUUAUCUAUUUUCGUCGGUUUAGGCUUAUUUUCGUGGGUUUUUGGCCCACGAAAAUUUAGGCGUUUCCUGUAGUGUUUUAUAUUUGGCCCAAGCCAUGAUCAUAAGGUUUUCAUGACCUUUUGGUCAUACUUACAUCUAGGGUUCCCAUUGUCCAAAGGGGUUUGCUUUAGGGUUUUGGGAAAUUAUCCCCUUUAGAUGUGCAUGAUAAGUUAGGGUAUGAUAUCCAAGAUGGGUUGCACUUGCUUAGGACCUUGAAUUCUAAGUUUGAUGUACUUUGCUCAAACUAACCCACAUGUGAUAGUAGGUUUAAAUGGUGUAGCCCUGGGUGGACACCCUGAGUAACACCUGGGGUGUUACAGCCCUCCCCCCUUAAAGGAAUCUCGUCCCGAGAUUUAGGUAGAGUCCCUUGGAGGGGUGCGUGAAGGUGUGUUGGUGCGCUACCCUUUCUUUUACCCAAGUUUCUCUUGUCAACUGCUCUUCGAAUGUCAUUCUCUUUGCAACUUCAGAAGGAAGUCCUUUUUAAGUUAAAACCACAACUUAGACUACCCUUGUUAUCUAAGUUUUUCUUAUAAUUGUAUUCAAAGGGCAGGUGGGGGUGGGGUUUUGGGUUACGUACCGACUCCUUUGGGCAGAAAGUCGGGGAAGCGAGAGCGUAGAAAAUCCUCAGUCUCCUAUGUAGCUUCUUCUACUGAAUGGUGACUCCACUGAACCUUAUACAUUCUGAUUGACCUUGCCCGCGUUGACCUCUCUUUCUGAUCCAAUACCCUGACGGGGUACUCUUGAUAGGACAAGUCUGGUUCUAUCUCAAUGUCUGGCUCAGGUAGCACUUCAGUGGGUAGGCGGACACAUUUCCGCAGCUGAGAUACAUGGAACACAUCAUGAACAGCUGACAUGCUGGGUGGCAACUUCAAUUGAUAGGCUACAGGUCCACAAGCCUCCUUGAUCUCGUAACUAGGGGUGGGUUCUGUCCUAAGGGUUAUUUUUGUUGGCAUCUAACAGUAAUAAUAAGCUUCUGUGCCAAAAAUCACAGAAAGCUAAAUGAUGGUUAUUUAGUUGUGAUUUUCCAAAGUUUAAUGCCAAAAGGCACUUUCUACUGCCUUGCUAUUUGAAAAAUGUCAAACAGCAGAUUUCAUAUUUUUCCUAAGUUCUUAAUAAUAAAACAUUAAUUAUCCCAAGGUUUGAUGUGUUUUCACUUUGGGGUUAUUUUUCUAGGGUUUUUCUAAGUUUUCCUUGUUUUCUUAAAAUAAAAGGUAUCCCAAUUAUUUUGUACUAAACCAGAGUAUAAUAGAUUUUUCUAGUGAACUAUAUUGAAUAUGUAGACUAACAAAAAUAGGGGUGCCCCCUGGUUCCUUAAUUAAAUCACCUUUCUUAUUUUCUUUAACUUUAAGCACAAUGUGAAAUAAAUGGAAAACUCUACCUUAAUGGGGUGUACAGAGAGGUUUAUCAUUUUUAAAUAGAUCAGUAGGUGGUCAUGCACUUCUCCAAAUUUUCUUAACCUCAGUUAAAUAGUGCAACUAUUUUUCUUCCUAUUAUUUAGCUUUUGGCCAAAACAAUAAUUAAAUCAGAACCCUAAAGUUUUCUGUAGAAUAUAGGGUUUUUAUAUUUUUCUUAAGUAGUUUAUAUUAUUUAAGAUCUGACAAAAUUGGUUUGACUCAAUUUGGAUGAAUAAAACAGAAGAUAUGAAUUAUUCAAGUUCUGUUUAAAUUUUAAAUCAGAUUUAAUAAAAGGUUUCCUGGAAAACCACUUUGCACCGGGGUCCUUGGGUUAUUUCCAAACUAACUCUCUCAGUUAUACCCCUGCGCUACUAUUUCUCUGAGUCACUGACAUUGCGCAAAACCCCCUAGCUUUCUCUUCUUCUCCCCCGUGGUCCCUCCCUAGGUUUAAACAGUACCCGCGAGAAAGAAAAGGGCGGCACGGCUUACCGACGGUGAGAGAAGUCCGGCGAGGGGCGGGGUUGGCUCCGGGAGGUCCUGGCGGUCACAACGGUGUACGGCUCGACGGCGGGGGUGGCCGGAAUCGUCCGGUCCACGUGCGCAGGCGGGUGCUCUCGUUGCAGCGGGUGUUCCGGCCAAACCACGGCGACCUAGUUCAAUCCAAUGGCACAGUGAGCCUCACAGGGUGACGUAGAGGCUGUGUGCACAAGGAAUCGAGGAAUGGAGCAGAGGAUUACCCGGUCUACGCUCGCCGGUGGUCGGGUGGAGUCCGGCGACCGUGGACUGGCCUCUCCGGCGAAGCAAACUCCGAUUCCUCGCUCGGGGAGCUUCACCGAGGUGUGCUCAGUCUUCUCCGAGGGUCGGACGGGGUUGGGAAGGGUUCUGUUGGCCGGUCUACGGUGGCAGGGGGAUCGGGCGGCCGCGGACACGCCGUGCACGGGCAAACGCCGGCGGGUUUGGGCUCCGGUGAGGUCGAGCGCGUGCGGAGGGGUACAGUCGAAGUCCCUAGGGGCUUUAUAGGCGCGGGUGCGGGCCAUGGCGCCGGCUUGGCUUUGGUGCGACGCGGGGCACGCGGGGGCGCGCACGGGCGUGCUCUGGCGAGCUCAGAGCGCGUCGAACACGUGGCUCUUUGCUUCUGCCCGUGUUCUUCCCUCUGCUGAGCGGCCAAAACGUUCGAAUCUUGCCCUAGAGCCUGUGAGAGAUCUCUUCCCUGCACCUAGAGCUACCUAGUUCAUGUGAGUUCCAAGGGUAGAUGUGGUCGGGUUAGAGAGAUAUGGGGGUGGGAAGUCGGCUAUGUCAGAGAUGUCCAAACCGAGACAAAAAAUGGUGCCAAGUCGUGUCAAACGUCUUAGGGUAGGUGUCAACUUUUUCCAGGGCAUUCUAGGGUUAAUUUGGCGCCACUUUGUCAAUUGGGUCGAAGUGUUUUGAAGUUUGAAUGAGGGUGCACAUGUGUGAUCUUUGGCCAAAGGUUAGUUUUGGACUUAGGCAAUUUCUGAUUUUUCUUUUGUGCUCAAACCUUUGGUGGACCUUUUGGGGCUUUUCUGAAAUCUUUUUGGGGUUACUUUCUUACUAUUAUUUGUAGGUUAUUAAGUGUACUACAACUUUUAUAUUUGGCCCAAGCCAUGAUCAUAAGGUUUUCAUGACCUUUUGGUCAUACUUACAUCUAGGGUUCCCAUUGUCCAAAGGGGUUUGCUUUAGGGUUUUGGGAAAUUCUCCCCUUUAGAUGUGCAUGAUAAGUUAGGGUAUGAUAUCCAAGAUGGGUUGCACUUGCUUAGGACCUUGAAUUCUAAGUUUGAUAUACUUUGCUCAAACUAACCCACAUGUGUUAGUAGGUUUAAAUGGUGUAGCCCUGGGUGGACACCCUGAGUAACACCUGGGGUGUUAUAGCUAGCCAGUGUUCUUGACAUGCUGAAAAUUCUGGGCACGCGAACACAGUGUUCUAUCUAUGCCCAAAUUUUCAACAGAACGUGAACACAUGCUGAAAAUUCUGGGCACACUAGCUUCUGUUUAUAUGCUUCUAGGCACGCGACAGAAUGUCUUCUGUUUAUCUUCUGCUGAAAAUUUUGGUUCACGUUCUGUUCACGCGUGCCCAUUAAGCUUCUGUUUAUAUGCCCAGUUAGCCAGAAUUCUGGGCACGCGACAAACUGGGCACAAGGAAUUCUGGGCACGCGACAAACUGGGCACAUACACAAUUUUCAGCAGAAUACACAGCUUCAAGUUUCCUUGUUUGGGAGCACAAACAUUACAGAAUUGUUUCCUUGUCUGACAGCACAAACAUUACACAGACAGCAACACACACACUGAGAGCACAAACAGAAGCUUUAGUCUGGGAGCACAAACAGACAGCACGCUUCAGGUCUCUGGGACAUAAAGGAACUUGUUUCCUUGUCGCAGCACGCUUCAAGUUUCUUGGACCAUCUGUAGUUCUACUCCCUUGUCGAAGCACGCUUCAAGUUUUUCCUCGCAGUAAUUUUCUUAACAAGCCACUUGACACUCCUUGCCGGAGAAGUAGGAGGAGUUUCCACACGGACUAGUGCUGCAUCAGCACUGACGUUUUCAUGGCUACCAUGGUCUAUUACAACUGUUUCUACAUCCAUAGUUUGAGCAGUUUGAGGUACAAUAGUUGUUUCUUCGUUAGGAGCACUAGUUUGAGAUGUAGAAGUCCGCAACUCUUUCGGGAUCCAAUUUUUCGUCGUAUUCUUUCUUGGCUUCCUCUUCCUACAAAGCAACAAAACAAUUACUAACAAGUUACAUCGAUUCCAAGCUCGAACUCAUGCUUUAUGGCAUAUUGCCUCAUAGCAAUUCGAAAUUCCUUCAUGUUAGGAAACAAACUACCAGGUUGCAUUGACGGAUUCAUUUUAUCAUACAUAACCCUCUUCUCAUUUGGCAGGUAGUCUUCAAAUGAUUGGUCUAUAGUAUUGUCUCCAAAAUUAAUAGGCUCCGAUUGAUCCAAAUUACUUGUAUUUUCCUAUGCCUUUCCCCCCUCAUUGACGACUUCAUCUCUUGCAUUUUCCUUUGCCGUUUCCCCCUCAUUGAGUCCUAGAUUACAAUACAUCUCCAUCUCACUUGCAACAUCACGUCUCCCUUCCUCCUCCCAAAAAUCACAUAGUACCAUAGAUUCCCAAUCUAACCUCGAUUUGUCUUGUACCUUUUCAUUUUCCUGGAUGACAAGUCUCUACUAAGUGAAGUCACAUAAUCCUAACCUCACUAUAUUUUACUUAAAUGAAGCACAACUAACCUCAUUAACAUUAUUUGCACCUAAUGCAACUAGCGGUAAGGAACUUGAACAAGGCGGUGGUGAAGACAUCACGGGACCUGCCAUUAAUUCAACCAAUAAUUUACAAAAUUAAAGGUUACAUGUGCACGAUUCAUACCACAGCAAGGCACAAAUAUCUACCUGGAUUUUCAGAUAUGCCUAUGUCUGCAUCAUUGAACAGCUCCAAAUCCUCCAUGGUCGAUCCACUGCAAACAGAAACCGAGCUAGAUCUAGUUGGGGGAGGAGACACGAAUGGGGGGAGAGAAGUUGAAUGAAUCAAGAACAACAGAGACAAACUCACGGGUGCGCACGUGGGGAAGAAGCGGGGACCUUCAUUCGGCGGCUCUAGGUCAUCGGCUGCGGGGAUUCUAGCUCGGUCGUACAGGCAGCAGCGGCGCUCUUCAAUCGGCGGCUCUUCGUCGGAGGUUGCUGCGCCCGGCUUAUGGAGGAGAUCUCGCGAGGGAGAACGCGACGACGAUGGAGGACGCGACGGCGAUGGAGGACAACUAGCAAUGGAGGACAACUCACGGCGACGACACAGGGGGACGGAACCCGGUGUCAACGAGAAUAAUACUGACCUAAACCUGUAAAUGAUUUAGUCAUGUCCAUUUUAGAGUGUUGGCUAUGCCCAGCUGUUUCAUAAGGGAGAAACCCUCUCCUAGACCUCCAUUUCGUCGAAGCCGCACCCGUCGUGUUUCAUAAUGUCAAAUUUCUCGUACAUAUGAGGAGAUAAAAAAAUGACAUUGUUAACUUAUUGUUGAGCCCCAAAAGGGACGGCCGGAUGCUUCGCGGUCCAGACGGUCUGCACUGGUGGUCCGGACGGUCCGCUCGUGCGUAGAGCCAAUUAGGGUUCUGAAUUUCUUGCUAUUGUUGUUGGCUAGAUUCGCGGAAUUAACUUGAGAGAUUUGUUUGUAACGGGUCCAGCCCCCACCUCUAUAAAUACAGAGGAAUACGAUCAAUUAAACAUCAUCAAUCAAAUCAAUAAUCAGUUUAUCUCGCAUUUAUUUCUUGUACAUUUAGUAGUAGUUCUAGUCUAGUUCUAGUUUAGCCUUCCAAUCCCCAAAUUCUCCGCUUCUGUUCGACUCUAUGUCGAUUAGAGGAGUCUAGGUCGGCCUGACGAGCCUAGACAUCACCUAGGUUCUCUACUCCCUGACGGGGUCCAUUCCGGGAGCAAGAUCUAGGCGCCGCCAGCGACCUUCGCCGCCCCUGCGCACGCGCGGACCGUCCGACCCAUCAGACAGGAAACUCUAGCCCUGUCCCAGGUCGCGGACCGUCCACGCCUAUGCAGAGAGCACCGUUGCCGGUUCUCACGCAGUGAUUGGCGCCUAAAAAGGCACCAACACUUAUUAGUCAUUCUUGUCUGUACCUUUUCGUCGGGGAUUCUUCAUUCGUGCAGUCCAGAUUAGCGAUAGCUUAUCUUCACAACAUGGUGUUUUCAAUGCCAAUCUGGCACCAAAAGGUCAGGAGAUCAGCUGCAUAACAUGAAGCACAGGCACAAACACAUGGCCAGACCUCAGAAGAAUGGAAAUAAUAAUGCUUUCACAUGAUUGAUGUCCUUUUUUAGAGCAGCAAAAACAACAAACCUUGGCCAGCUGUUGGGGUGAAGGCGAAGACGCUACCCUUCGCUCCAGCCUUCGUCACCAUGCAAAAACAACAAACCUUGACCAACUUUCACCCCUCACCUACACUCACCGAUUGGGGUGAGUGUAGGUGAGGGGGAGCUGCGAAAUCUUUUUGAGGGUGAGGAAUUAAGGAUAAUGCUGUUCAACUACAGGGAGAUGGGUAUCAUCUCGAAGGUUGAGCCAAUGUAAUAUAUGGUGCCCUCGCUGUGUGUAUGUAACCGCUAUUUGUAUGAUAAGGCUGCGCGCCUUCGUUGAUCCGGCCGCGGCCGUGGGCGACUUCUGUACGGAGAGUCUUUUGGAAAAGACUUUGAUUUUGCGCGCCUAUUAUUCCGGCUGCACCCUUAGACGACUUUUGCACGGAGAGUCUUUUAAGAAAGACUUCGAUUUUGCACACUUGUUGUGCUAUUCCGGCUGCACCCUUAGGCGACUUUUGCACGGAGUCUUUUGGGAAAGACUUCGAUUUUGUGCACUUGUUAUGCUAUUCCAGCUGCACCCUUAGGCAACUUUUGCACGGAGAGUCUUUUGGGAAAGACUUCGAUUUUGCGCACUUGUUGUGCUAUUCCGGCUGCACCCUUAGGUGACUUUUGCACGGAGAAUCUUUUGGGAAAGACUUCGAUUUUGCGCACUUGUUGUGCUAUUCCGGCUGCACCCUUAGGCGACUUUUGCGCGGAGAGUCUUUUGGGAAAGACUUCGAUUUUGCGCACUUGUUGUGCUAUUCCGGCUGCACCCUUAGGCGACUUUUGCGCGGAGUGUCACACGCGAGGGUAGUCAGCGCUGCCCCUCGCGGUGACUUCGGUGUGGUCGAAUGCCGAAGACCGUCGAAUUGGUCUUUUUCGACAUAUUGUGUCUUAGUUUUUGCGGGGGAUUUUUGCGUUUAUAUUACAUGGCUCCGCCUCAUUAAAAACCUCACCCCCCGGGAGGAAAAGAGUGCGGGCCGGAAUGAUACUGUUUGGUGAAUUACAAGGGCGUGUUAGCCUUGAGGAUUCAAACAAAAAAUUUGCGGAGAUUAUCGAUAUUCCAGGAAUGCUCUAGGUCCUCACCGGAUGGCGUGGUUAGCCUGUACGCGCUGGGGGACGCCUUCGUCUUGACGAUGAAAGGACCCUCCCACUUUGGCUCCAGCUUGCCCCGUGACUCUGUUCGAGUUGUCCGGACGAGUACGAGGUCCCCUUCGUCGAAUUCUCUUGGGACGACUGCGUGGUCGCGCCAGGCCUUCGUUUGAGCUUGGUAUUUGUUGAGAGCCUGCAGGGCGAAGACACAGUCUCCGUCGAUGAGGUCUUUGGAGGUUGGUUCGUCUACGUCGGGGACGGCUGAAGCGCUUGUCCGUGGUGACCCAUGUUUGAUUUCCAGCGGGGUCAUGGCCUUCGAUCUGUAUAGCAGGCGAAAGGGGGUGAAUCCAGUCGCCCAGCAUUCGGUCGUGUUCAGCGCCCAGACUGCUUCAGGUAGCAGGUCGGCCCAUUUACCCUUCUUGUCGUCGAGGAGCAUUUUCUUGAUGGCAGUAAAAAUCUUGCCGUUGGCGCGCUCCACGACGCUGUUGGAUUGUGGGUGAUAUACUGAGGCAAAGGCUAGCUUGGUGCCAAUGGAGAAGCAAAAGUCCCUGAAGUCUUGGCUGUCAAACUGUUUGCCGUUGUCGACUGUGAGCUCAGAUGGGACUCCGAAUCGGCAGAUAAUAUUUUGGUAGAAAAAUUUCUGGGCAGUCUUCGACGUUAUUGUGGAUACUGCCCUUGCCUCGAUCCACUUGGUAAAAUACUCGACGGCGACGAAGGUGAACUUGAGGUUCCCUUGAGCCGUGGCUAGUGGCCCGACAAUGUCUAGCCCCCAGCGUUGAAGUGGCCAUGUGUGGGCGAUUAGCUUUGUGAAUUGCGAGGGGUUGCCCGAAUGGGGAGCGAACUUCUGGCAGGCUUCGCACGACCUCGUGACUUGAUUUGUGGCGCAUAUUAUAGCGGGCCAGUAGAAACCUUGAUGGAUCACCUUGGCAGCGAGGGCCCUAGGCCCCGAGUGAGAGCCGCAAGUGCCGCUGUGGACUUCGCGCAGGAUCUGGAGGCCUUCGGUCUCUGUGACACAUUUGAGCAUGGGUUGACUGAUCCCUUUCUUGUAUAGCUGGCCCUCAAUAAGUGUGAAGUCCCGACUUUGGUGUUUGAGGCGCUUGGCCUCGUUGACAUCACCUGGAUGGUAAUAUCCUUGCAAGAACAGGGUUAUUGGGGCCCGCCAGUCUUCGGCCAUGAUGAGGUUGACAAUGCGAUGGCCCUCGGUGUUGGUGGUUAUUUGCAGACCCUCUGGGCUGCUGACGGCUGGUGUGCCUAUGGCGUGGUAGAACAUGUCGGAGGGCAGGGCUUCGCCUCUGGCUGCUGCUUUGGCCAACGCGUCGGCUUCUUCGUUUCUAGCGCGGUCCACAUGCUGCAGGGUGAAACCCUUGAAUUGCUUCUCAAGACUGCGAACGGUCGUAAGAUACUAUAGAAGUGCAGGGUCUUUUGCUGAAUAGUCUUUUUCGAUCUGGCCAGCAACGACUUUGGAGUCUGUCUUGAUUAUGCAGGUGGUCACGCCGAGUGCUUUCAGCUUGUGAAGGCCCAGGAUAACGGCUUCAUAUUCUGCUAUGUUAUUCGUGCAACUGUCGGAUUCCAGAGCGAAGCUGAGGCGUGCUGCGUAUCUAUGCUUGACGCCAGUGGGUGAUAUGAUGAUUGCAGCCACGCCUGCCCCCGCAUGGCACCAUGCGCCGUCACAGUGGAUGGUCCACACCUUCUCUGAGGGCUCUUCUUGCUGCCGUGCCGGCCCUGUCCAGUCGAUGAUGAAAUCUACGAGGACUUGGGACUUAAUUGCUGUCCUAGGCUUGAAGGUGAUGUGGUAUUCAGAGAGUUCGACUGCCCAUUUGGUGAUACGGACGGAUGCCUCCGGAUUUCUGAAUAAUUCGCUGAGUCCCCUGUCCGUGGUGACCCGCACCUUGAACGCUUCGAAGUAGAGGCGCAAUUUGCGCGACGCCAUGACGACUGUGUAGGCAAUGUUUUCCAACUCUGUCAUGUUGCAUUUGGAAGUUGUGAGGACUUCGAAGACGUAAUAAACUGGACACUGCCGAGUUGUGCCCUCUCUGUCCUGCUCUUGGACCAACGCUUCGCUGACUGCGUGCGGCGAAGCUGCGACGUAGAGCAACAGAGGUAGCGAGGGGUCGGGGCUUGUAAGGGUCGCCAACUCUGACAGGUGCUGCUUGAGUGAUGCGAAGGCUGCCGCUUGCUCUGGUCCCCAUGCAAAGUCUUUUGCGCCGCGUAGCGUCUUGAGGAAAGGUAGGCUUCGCUCUGCAGACUUGGAAAUGAAUCUGUUGAGGGUGGCCAAUCUGCCUGUCAGGCGUUGGACGUCUCUGGUUGACUGCGGAGGCAUCAUGUUGAUGAUAGCCUGGAUCUUAGUCGGGUUGGCCUCGAUCCCGCGGUGUGACACCAGAUAGCCCAGUAUCUUCCCCUGGCGAACUCCGAAGACGCACUUCUCGGGGUUUAGGCGAAGUCGUGCUUCCCGCAUAUUCGCGAAUGUUUCUGCGAGGUCGGCCAGAUGAUCCUCUUUGUUUUUGCUGGCGACGACGAUGUCGUCCACAUAUGUGAAAAUGUUCUGACCUACUUGGCUCUUGAGCACCGUCUUGGUGAUGCGAGAGAAGGUGGACCCAGCGUUCUUUAGUCCCUCCGGCAUUCUGACGAAACAAUACGUGCCGAAGGGCGUGAUGAAAUUAGUACUGGCCUUGUCUUCCUCCUUCAUAUAUAUUUGGUGAUAGCCAGAGAAGCAGUCAAGGAGUGACAUGACUUCGCAUUCGGUCGCACUAUCGAUGAUCUUGUCGAUCCGAGGCAGUGGGAAAUUAUCCUUGGGCCAGGCCUUGUUGAGGCUAGUGAAAUCGAUGCACAUCCGCCACUUGCUACUCUUCUUUUGCACCAUGACUACGUUAGCGAGCCACGUAGGGUAGGCGACUGGUUCGAUGAAAUUGGCCUCAAGCAGACAGUGUACCUCGGCUUUGACGGCUUCUGUUUUCUCAUCAGACAUUUUGCGCAUCCUCUACUUCUUCGGCCGCACCGAAGGGUCGAUGCCCAGACUAUGUUCGAUGAUAGUGCGACUGACUCCGACCAGGUCGAGGGCAGACCAGGCGAAGACGUCCUUAUUUCUGGAAAGAUAGGAGAUGAGUCUCUCCUCGUCUUGCGAAGUCAGGUCAUCGCUUAUGUUGACCGUUUGCUUGGGCGUUGCCUGGUCAAGGGGAACUGUCUUCGUUCCAUCGUUGCUCUGCAACUGUGCCUUUUCAUGCUCGUUGGCGGUUGGGCGGGUAGCCUCGGGGACUUCGCGCUGCGUCGUAAGGCAGUGUACGUUCCGCUGCCCUGGAACGAAGUCUCUUUCAAUGUUGCGCGCGGUCUGCUGGUUGCCGUAGACUGUGAUCACGCCUUGCGGACCCGGGAUUUUCAUGCACAAGUAAAGUCCGUGGAUGGCCGCUUCAAACUUGUUGAUGGAGCCCCGACCCAUUAUGGCGUUGUACGGGUAUACCAUGUCGACAAUGUCGAAGGUGAUCUGCUCACUUCGUGCAUUGGGUGCUACACCGAAGGACAAGGGUAGCUCGAUCUUGCCCAUAGGAAAGGUGCCCUUGCCGCCGAAGCCAUAUAGGGGGUUGUCCGAAGGCUUAAGCAAACUGUGGCUGAUGCCCAUGCGGUCGAAGGCGUGGAGGAAAAUGAUGUCCGCCUGGCUGCCGUUGUCAAGAAAAACUUUGUGCAGGUCCCAGCCUGCCACGCUGCAGUUGAUUACCAUGGCGUCAAUGUGGGAUGCACUGCGCAGGUCGACAUCUCUGGCGUGGAAGGUCAGCGGUACGUGGGACCACUUUGUUUGCACGACUGGGCCGGUGACGGCGACGUGGUUGAUGCUUCGGUAGUGGUCCCUCUUCUGUCGCUUCGUGUCGAAGUCGACGCUAGACCCCCUAGUGAUCAUGUGGAUGACUCCGCGAUACGGCUGAUCAGCGAAGUCUUCUUGUUUUGGCGCUUGGGGGUGGUUUGGGUGAUGGAUGUUUGGCUGAUGCGGGUGCGGAGGCGAGAGUGGAGGUGGUAUGACUUGUACCUCCUGAUGGUGUUGGUAUGUGUGGUUAGGUGGAUGCUGGGCGGGGCCGUGGUUGUAUGGUUGUGGGAGAUGGUGUUGAUAUGUGUGCGCGACAACUCUUGGGUUGUCGGCUGGUUGCGCCCGAGACAUCCUGUCCCUGGUGGCCUUCGUUUCCGGGCUGUCCCUCAUUGGGUGCGCGUAGUCUUCACCGUGAAACAGGCAGUAAAAUCUGCGCGGCUGCUUCGCCCGUCCUCGGCCCCGACCACGAGUGCAAUUGCCGCGGCCGUGGGGGGGAUAAUCUUGACGGCGAGGGGCCUCACCAGCGGGGUGCUGGUUGGCAAUGUUAUGCACCUAUUGCUGACUGCGGCUGUCCUGACCAGAGUUUGACUGCGAAGGUCUUGUCCAUGUUCGGCUGGACUGCGGAGGGUCCUUGGGUUUCCUCUGGGACUCGACCUUGCACUGGUGGAGCUCUUCGAAUCUGACAUAUUUUUCAAACAGCUGAUAGAGCUCUUGGAGGUUCUUGGGUGGGUCCCUGAUGCAGUGACUGUAAAGAACGCCAGCCCGAAGGCCACUGAUGGCGUAGUGAAUGGCAAUUUGGUCGUCGACCGAAGGCAGUUGUGACUUGAGAGUCAGGAACUUGCGGUAGUACUCCCAUAGGGUUUCUUUCUCCAGUUGCUUGCAGAGUGACAGUUCGGCCAAGGCGUCGGUAUCUGGGCGGUACCCCUGGAAGUUGAGCAGAAAUUUGUCCCGGAGACUUCUCUAGGAGUCGAUGGACAACGGGGGUAACCUGGUGUACCAGGUUAGGGCCGGACCCUCGAGGGCGAUGAUGAAGGACUUGGCCAACGUGGCGUCGUCCCCUCCGGAUGAUGCGACAGCGACUUGAUAGCUCAUAAUGUACUGUGUUGGGUCGGUGCUGCCGUUGUACUUGGGGUAGGUCCCUGCCCUAAAGUUGGCGGGCCAUGGUGACACUUGCAGUUGCGGCGCUAGGGGACUCCGCUCAUCAAGGUAGUUGACGCCUUGGAAUGCUGCGGCGUGCGGGACGACGGGUCCGUGCUGAGGAAUGAAUAGGUCUUCGAUUGGUGCGCGCUGUUGGAGGGGCAGGCCGUGCUGCAGAUCAUGUUGGCCUUCGCGCUGCAUGAGCGCAAUCUCUUGCUCGAGUUCUUGAGCCCUCUGCUCCUCGUCUCGUAUCAUCUGGCGCACUUUGGCUUGCGCAGAAACACGUUGGCGCUUGGCCUCGAGGAUUUCUUUCUGCUUCUGGAGGUUACGGUUCUUGAUGCGGAGGGCCCGCAACUGUAGCUAUUCUUCUGCUGAAACGCCGAUGACUUCGCCGUCCUCUGUGGCAUCCUCGCCCUCUAGCGGAGCGAAGCCUGGGGGUGGUUGCUGUGGCUGUCCUCUGGAGCUGCAGGUGCGGAGGCUGCCCUCGGGAGUAGGUUGGUCGUUGCGCUGUCUCUUGCUGACAGCGUCGUCUUCACAGGCUUCUUGAUGGGUAGUGUCUACAAGGGCCUUGCCCUUUUUCUCGGCUAGCAGUGCAGCCUUCGCUGCUUCGUCAACGGAUGGCGCUGCCUUCGAGCUAGCUCUCUUGGGUGCCAUCGCGGGUGUUUUGUUCGUAGCACGAACGGUGGACGCUAAAUGUUGGAACUUGUUCUCCUGGGCAAGAUGAUCCAACGGGGGAAUGAAAGUAAUGCAAACAAGGUUUUAACUCGAGAUGACGAUUGCUCUGUUAAUCCAGCCUCUCAAGGGCACUGUACGUGGGUAUUUAUAGGUGCCUGAGUGCCAACGUCUCGACGUAAGGACGCAUAUACCCUCAGGCACCUGGACUAUCCCAGGAAUAUUCCCAUAAAGGAGGGUUACAGACUGUCAUUACAGAAAAGCCAUUACAAAUCGGGCCCGUAACACACUUCUCCGUGCGGGGCCUGUUACAAUGGGCCGAAUCCCACGUGGGCCUCUGGGUGGGGUGAGGACGUGGGACGGGGCGAUGUCGUCGUAGGCCUUCGUCUCGUAGUGUAGAGGACGAAGGGUGGACCCCGCCGGUUGUUUUGCCUCCGUUGGUGCAGCGAGAUUGACGAAGGCUGGAGCGAAGGGUAGCGUCUUCGCCUUCGCCCCAACAUCAGCCUUUGGUACACCUUUCUCAAUCAUACGAUUUCUUUAGUCAUAUAAAACUAGGAAAAAGUGAAGCGAGGUCACCUACUCCUAUGUCCGAAGAAUCGCAAUCGAUGCUACACAAAAUACAUAUAACAUGGAACAAAUUGUGCCACAAUCCAGAUGCUUCAUUAAUCAUUCACCCACCCACAUAGAGCCCAUUUCGAACAUGAGGGCCGUAUAAACAAGUAUGUGUGCAUUCUAGUCCAAUAAUGAAUUGCAUAGUAUAAUCAUACAGCAGUAUGGCACCACGAAUGAACAUGUGGUUUAGUUAAAAAGAAUGGGAGGAAAUAUGGUACAUGAAUGGGUGUAAAGAAUACAUUUUCCAGUUUGAUGAUGAGACAUACAACAGAAUCAUACAAAACCAAAACCAACUGAUCCGUGGCAACAAAAUCCCACUGGCUAUGAGGAUCUAAAGGAUCAAUACUCCAAAACGAUCCGAAAAUGACAAUCACCAAUGACCUAUAUGUUUCUAACUUUCUAUAAACAACUUUGGUUCUCUUGAUAUACACCGUCCAUCCACAUCUUCCAGUAGGCUCUCUGUUCUUUGGUCCCAGAUGUGCACUUCCACCAAUAUCUGUAGCGGAUGAGAACCUGGCAAGAGCAUAUGAUGUUGAUUGGUCACAGGUAAUGAACAAUCAACAUACUUAGUAUCUCCCCCCACUUGGUGGUGCCGGUGGUAACCGGUUAGGUGUGCGUCGGCUGCCAGAGGUGGCAUCCCCAUUUUCAUGGCGUCGGCCUCUAUCAGCACUUCUUGACCUUGUCUCAUGCUGUGAACUGGACCCGUUAACAGAGACAUUUGCUGCCGAGUUGAAGGCGGACUUCCAGUCCUCACCAGAGUGGCCAGGAGACCGUGGGCUACUCUCUGCAAUUAGAUUUAUGCCCACUCAAGGUUAGACUCCUCAAUUUGCUACCCAUAAGGCAAACAAACUACAGCAAAUGGAAAGUACAGCUGGUCCACAUAUUUACAACAAGCAAUAUCGAUCUAGAUACUUAACUAGUUGUUAAGGCCCAUUAGACCCAUGCCUACUGCCUGUAUAUAUCCUAUAGUACAUAGGGACUGUUAUUAGUUGUUAAUCCUAAGGUUAGUAACAUGAUAACAAAAUUAGGGUUUUCUAUUAGAAUACUGUUAGGGUUUUGGGGCAAGUCCAUGUGUAAUUACUUGCAUAUCCACAGUGUAAUGGGCUUGGCCCAAUUACUCAGUAUGUAUAUAUAUAUGCACUCCCAACCCAGUUAAGGUUUCCCAUUCCAACUUGUAACAGAGCCAAUUUUUCCUUCCCCUCCCACCUCCCCAGCCACUGGCCUAGGCUCCUCCCUGUCUGGCUGCCUGAUUUCCCCUCCACCUCACCGCCGGCCAUCUUCCAGGCGCCGACCGACCAUCCUCCCUCCCCGCCUGGACUAGGCCGAAACCGUCGGGCCCUGCGCCGCCCCGCUCAGGCGCGCGCUCGCCGACAUCCUCCCUCCUCGUCUGCGCCUGGACUAGGCCGACACCGCUGAUCCUUACGCCGUCCCGACCAGGCUACGUGCGCUCGCUGGAGCUCGCCGAUCUCGCCCGGCUCCGCGCCAAUCCCUGCACUGCGCGCGCCAUCUUCUUGGUCGGGCACUGCCAGCCACCCUCCCCCUGCGCGGCCAACCCCACCGUCGUCUAUCACUGACGCGAGCAGGCCAUGCCCGCGGCUCCCGACAUCCCGGCUACCCGCUCUGAGCCACCUGUGUUCCACCCGAUCGCCAUUCACCACGACCCCAGGCACGUCCACCCAAUAGUGACUCGAUGCGCCGCCGGCGUUCUCUGCCCCGUCGACCGGUUGAUCCUGGCAGCUGACACGACCGCCACCCCUCCAGACGCCUCCCUAGUCCCCUCCUCCGUUCGCGCCGCCCUCGCCGACCCGCACUGGUGUCACGCUAUGGAGGAGUACGCGACCCUGCUGGCCAACCACACCUAGGACCUGGUGUCGUGUCCCCCAAGCACUAACGUGGUCACCGGUAAGUGGCUCUUUCGCCACAAGUUGACCUCAGAUGGCUCCCUCGACCGCUACAAGGCCCAUUGGAUCCUUCAGGACUUCACCCAGUGCCUCGGAGUGGACUACGACGAGACCUUUAGCCCUAUCGUCAAGUUCGCCACCGUUCGCGCUGUCCUCUCCCUCGCCCUCUUUUGGGUUGGGCGAUCCAUCAGGUCGACGUCAAGAGUGCCUUCCUCCACGGGUGGUCAUAAAUAUUCUAUUAUUUUUAUUGAUGAUCAUUCUCGUUAUACUUGAAUUUACUUCAUGAAACGUUAUUCUGAAUAGGUUUCUAUUUACAAGUCUUUUGCUCGCAUGACCCACACCCAGUUUUUUGCUCCCAUUAAAAUUUUCCGUUUUGAUUAUGGUGAAUUUUUAUCUGACAAUUUUCGCUAGUUAUUGACCUCAGAGGGUACACUUACUCAACUUUCUUGCCUUGGUGCUCAUGCCCAAAAUGGCGUUGUUGAACGUAAACAUUGUCAUGUUAUCAAGAGUGCACGGACUCUUUUGAUAUCUUCUUUUGUUCCCUCACACUUUUGGGGUGAAGCUGUUCCUACUGCAGUUUAUCUCAUUAAUAGACAACUGUCAUCCAAACUCUCUGGCAAAAUACCUAGUGAAGUUCUUUUUGGGACACCACGAUAUGAUCACCUUCGAAUGUUUGGAUGUACGUGUUAUGUCUUGUUUCCACCUUGUGAGCGAACUAAACUGCUUGUUCAAUCUAUUGAGUUUGUUUUCCUUGGAUACAGUCCUGAACACAAAGGCUAUCGUUGUUACGAUCCAUCUACUCGUCGCAUUCGUAUUUCAAGAGAUGUGAGUUUUAAUGAAAAUAGACCCUUCUUUCACAACCGGUCCACUCACACGUCAUAUUUUCUCGUAGAGUCCACCUCAUUCAUAUGUCUUCCUUCAUUUCAUGAUUCUUCUACGCCACCCUCUUCUAUAUCCGCACCUGAUGUCCACAUUCCCAUAACACCACCUUCCAUCUCCACAUCACCUUCACCUUACUCUUCCAAACCACCUGUCAUCCAGACCUACAUUCGUCGUUCCUGCCCUAUUACCACGACUAGUCCUGAUACUUAUCCUGAUGAAGAUUCUUGUACUAACAAUACUGAGUCUUGUAAUGUUUUUAAUCAAGGAUAUCGUCUUCGUGAUCGUGGCACAAUUGAACCUCUAGAUCGCUAUGGUUUUCCACUCGCUGGUGUGGCAAUUAUUGAACCAUCCUCUUAUCGGGAGGCUUCUGCGAUUCCUCAGUGGCAGCUUGCUAUGAUUGAAGAAUUGUCUACCCUUGAUCGCACUGGUACAUGGGAUAUAGUUCCUUUACCCUCGCAUGUUGUACCAAUCACAUGUAAAUGGGUCUUCAAAGUUAAGACAAAAUAUGAUGGUUCCAUUGAGAGAUAGAGACUUGAUUAUGAUGAGACAUUUGCACCAAUUGCACAUAUGACUAUUCUCCGUACUUUGAUUGUUGUUGCAGCCUCAUCUUCUUAGACUAUCUCUCAAAUGGAUGUUAAAAAUGAUUUUCUUAAUGGCGAUCUGCAUGAAGUUUAUAUGCAUCCCACUCCAGGGGUUGAGACUCCCCAAGGGCAUGUUUGUCGUCUCCGUCGUGCCUUAUAUGGUCUGAAACAAGCUCCUCGUGCUUGGUUUAAGAGAUUUAUUUCUGUCAUCACGGCUGGUGGUUUUUCUCCUAGUGAUCAUGAUCCUGCAUUAUUUGUUCAUAUCUCUACAAAAGGUCGUACUUUACUCCUAUUAUAUAUGGAUGAUAUGCUGAUUACAGGUGACGAUUCAGAGCAUAUUUCUCUUGUAAACAAGCAUCUUAGUAAGGAAUUUCAUACGUCUCAUUUGGGACCUCUCAGCUAUUUCUUGGGAAUUGAAGUACAACAUACCUCAAAAGGUUUUUAUCUGUCAUAAUCCAAGUACAUACAAGAUCUUGAUCGUUCUGGUCUUACUGAUACACACACAACUGUGACACCAAUGAAUAUUCAUUUACAACAUUGUCCGACUGACGGGACACCACUAGUAGAUCCAUCUCGAUAUCGACAUAUUGUCGGCAACCAUGUUUAUCUCACAAUCACUAGACCUGAUAUUGCUCAUGUUGUUCAUAUUCUGAGCCAAUUUGUAUCCACACCUACCUCAGUUCAUUAUGGUCAUUUGCUUCGUGUUCUGAGAUAUUCACGCGGGACAAGAUCUAGAUGUUUAUUCUAUGCUUCUGAUAGCCCACUUCAGCUUCAUGCUUACUCUGAUGCAAUUUGGGCGAGUGAUCCAAUUGAAUGCCGCUCUAUUACAUGUUACUGUAUUCUACUUGGAUCCUCCCCUAUUGCCUGGAAAUCCAAGAAACAAGCAACAAUACCUUGUUCUAAUACUGAAGUAGAACUUCAAGCUCUUGCUACUACUGUUGCUGAAAUUAUUUGGAUGCGAUGGCUCUUGGUUGUUCACUGGUCUCUUGUGACACCCCUACACCUCUGUUAUGUGAUAACAUGGGCGCUAUACAGAUUUCACAUGAUCCAGUGAAGCAUGAACUUACUAAACACAUUGGUGUUAAUGCAUCGUUCACCCGAUUCAAUUGUCAUCAGAAGAAUAUUGAUCUUCAAUAUGUGCUCUCGGAAUCUCAAUUGGCGGAUUUCUUCAGCAAAGUGCAAACCAGAGCACAACAUUAGUUUCACUUGAUCAAACUCAAUGCUUUAGAUCCUUCACUUCCACCUUGAGUUUGAGAGGGGUGUUAAGGCCCAUUAGACCUAGGCCUAAUGUCUAUAUAUAUAUUCUAUAGUCCAUAGGGACUGGUUAUCACUUGUUAAUACCAAGGUUAGUAACACUAGUUAUCUGAGCUUCUAGAAAUUGCAGGUGAACUUAUAAACUAAGCAUCAUACUAAAUUGUUGCAAGAUCAUUAUAAUGUGCAUUUCUGGACUACAAUGAAGAAGGUUCUUGUUUGAAGUAUAUAGAACUUACCAGCUCCAGAACUAUCGUUCGCAUAUGAAGCUGCUCUAUUGUCAUGAAUGCUGAGCUAGCGAGUGAGCUUUGAUAAGAGGGAUGAUUGUUUUUCAUAUUUUUCCCGCCUACGUUUAGCAUUGUGGUCUUCUUGGAGUAGUUCUUCGAUCUUUGCAUUGCUUUGUGCACUAGAAGUGAGAAAAAGUAAGUGGCUCAGCAAUGAAUUAUUGCAGUAAAAUGAAAUGACAGUGGAACAAAACAUUUUCUUCAAAGUACUUCAAAAUACUAGUGACACCCUUCAACAGUCACAAUACAGGAGCACAAAGUGAAACAACAGGAAAAGGUGAAGCACACAAGUAAAAGAAGACUGCAAAUUUAAUAAACUUCUCCUAGAACAAAGUUCACAAAAUAUACUAGUAAAGCAAAUGAUAAAACAAGAUGAGAAAUACAAAUACUAGUAAUAUAUUGUGCCUGCACCUGCGUGAUGCGUAAAAGUUAUAAGUGCAAUAAUACCAAAGACAUCAGUGUGAGAAGUAAUUAAGCAUAUUAAUUUGUAGAACUAAAGUAUAGAUAGAGGCACUACUUUAUCGGUUUCCUCAUUUCUUAGAAUGUAAUAUGCAAAACACCUUUAGAGGCGGAGAGACAGAGACAUUGAUGAAUCUACGGAGAGACAGAGAUAUUGAUGAAGAUGUUAGCCAUAGAAUCAAAACAGGAUGGAUGAAAUAACAUCAAGCAUUUAAUAUUCUAUAUGACAAGAGGGUACCACAGAAGCUAAAAAGACAAGUUUUAUAGGACGGCGAUUAGAACUGCUAUGUUGUAUGGUACAUAAUGUUAGCCUACAAAAAAAACUCGACCUGCGGGGUAAGACCGCCCUCGCGGUAUUUUGUUAAGAAGACAUUCUCAUGCAGGUCGAGAAAACCCCCCGAACCCCUGCCCUACCCAUACAUAGCGGCACCGUAGCCCAUAUGAGAAUGACCGCGACCGGAGCCGAGCCUUAGACAUGUGCUUUAGCGUGGGACAGACGAGAGGAUUUUUUUAACCGCAGCCUGAAAAUUCGCUCCCACGGUGAGUCGACCCAGGACAUGAGGAGUGCUACUCAGACCAUCUACCAACUCAAAAGAUGACAUGUUUAGCAUAUAAGUGUUGCAUAAAUGCAUAUGUUGUGUUCGAUUUGUGACCAUACAAGAAGGGGUCGAGUCUGGAGUGAUGAUAUACGUGAUAGGCUAGAGGUAGCACCAAUUGCAGAAAAGCUUGUCCAACAUCGGUUGAGAUGGUUUAUAUUAUACAUGUCCAAUAGAGACUCCAGAGGCGCCAGUGCGUAGUGGGAUCCUAAGGCGUGAUAGUAACGAGAAGAGGGGAAGACCGAAGUUGACAUGGAAAGGGAGAGGAAGAGGAAGAUUAAAGUUGACAUAGGAAGAGGUAGUAAAAGAUAGGAUAUAUCCAAAGCUUUAGCCUUGGAUAGGAGUGUAUGGAAAACAAUUAUCCAUGUGUCCGAACCAUGAACUUAUGGAUUCUAUUAGGUUUUUAACUCUAGCUUAUCCCAACUUGCUUAGGAUAAAAUGUUCUGUUAUUGUUGUAAUAUGCAAAACACCUAACUAACAAGAUCAUAAGUAGACCUUCACAUAGCCAGCCAGGAAUCACAAAAAAGUAUUUUGUUGCAAAUCCAUCUAGAUGGUAGAAGAGCGGGCCUGGUACACUAGUGAGAGCUGUCUCACUGAGUCAUGAGGUCACGAAUUCAAUGCAAUAUCUUCGUAUUUGCGGGAGGAAGGUUUGCCUCGGUUUAUUCCUUCCUCAAAUCCCACUUAUGUGGGAACCUAUGACACUGGACAUGUAGUUCCAUCUAGAUGGCACCGCCUUGUCUUUUUAUAUGGCAUAUAGUUUUGUCAAGCCAUUCAUGUAAAUUUGUUGAUGUUUUUUAGGCUUUGCUCUUUUUGUAGUAUAUUCCCUCACAUUCAUGGUUAAUACCUCAUUAAUUGUUCUCUCUCAAGUUUCUAAGCUAAAUAGGGGUAGCAUGAUAUUGGUAAUUAUCUCUUUUCUUUCUCUAGGUUCCAACUUCCAAGGCCUUAUCAGUCGUUGUGUCCAUCCCUAAUGUGUCUUAUGCUUUGAGCGUAGUUUAUUACAAUUUUCAGUGAAGGAGGGGAAAAUGAGUGAGCUCAUUCAAGAAGGAUAACUAUGCCUAAUUUAUUUUCGUAGAAUAACAACCAACCUUAUUGAGCUGUAUAAUUGGUUUAGCAUAUCUUCUUUUGAUUUCUCCACUUGGCAAAGUACAAGAGCCUAGUCAUGCAGAAGACGAUGAACAUUACUCUAUGAAUCACAAGGUUCAGAUUAUCGAUUGAAACUACGAGUACAAACCUUUGGAACAUUUGCGGCAAAACUGUUCAAAACAGCUUCAACAUAACCACGAACUUCUUGAGACAUCCAUCGAAGUUCUUCUUCAGGAUCAGCAGGCCUCCGGGUCAUUGUAUCCUUAAACAGAAAAGAGUUGCAGAAUAACAGUAAAAUAAGUGAUCUUAUGUUCGAUACAUUUAAAUGAAAAACAUGCUUUAGCCUUUAGGUAAGGUAAAAAACAAUAGAUAUUCUUUAGUAGAUAGCAAGAAAUGAGAAAUAUCCGCUCGGUAGGUGACCUGCAAAAUGACUCUCCAUUGACCACACUUUUCCUUUCCUUUCAUGUCCACAUAUUCUUUUUUACCCGCCCAACUUUAGUCAGUCCGACUUGACAUGUUUGCUUUGGGAAGGUAUAAGCUAGCAGGUUCAAUUGCACUUGCAACAGUUCACACAGGCUAGACGAUUGACCUUUGCAUUGGCCAAGGUGACGAUUAUGCUAAGGCUAAAAGGUCCACCGAAAAAAUACAUGUACUAAGACACAAGUGACAAGUCAUGGCCAGAGCUUACAAGGGAUCCAUCUGAACGGCUUUGUCUCAUAAACUAUCCUCAGUUGGACCCUUAACAGAGCCCCCUCUGCUUUGAAUAACACCUUUUAUCUUCUUGAUCCAUUCUAUUUUGUCAGCCAUACUCAGCCUUCAAUAUAACGGCACUGUGAGCUGUAAACAUGAAAAGGCAUUAAUAGCAACCAAAAAAAAAAGACAAAAGGAAUCCCCCACCCCCCAAAUAACGUACAGGAACAGACUUUUUAAGACACUUUUGUAGGCAACCCUAUUAGUAAUCUUAAAAACAAGACUUGGGCCUUUAUCUUGUCCAUUUGCCUUCUUCGAAUCCUUAGAACUCUUUGAGAUCUCCUCCUCCUCUAUCUCUACGAGGUUACAUUCCUAAAUAUCGCAGCAGAUAAUUCUAUUAGAAACAGAUCGUAUCACGCUUCCCUGUACAUGUUGUCACUCAGUUCAGAUAUGAAUCCAACUUUCCACAAUGAAAGAAACCGUUUAAUGUGGCUGGAAGUAUACUACUUCCUUUUCAAAAUGUAACUGUAAUAAACAUUUAGCUUCUGCUGAUAAUAUAAAAAAACAUAUUAAGACCAGUUGUAGAAACUAUUUUCCUAUUUGUCAUGAAACUAUGUCUGAAAAUAUAUUUGGUACAAAAUGAUGGUGAAAGGUUUAAAUUGGGGAACAUGUUAAUGUCAAGAGGGGCAUCUAUCAAACAGCGAUUGUUAUUCAUAAUAUAAGUUUGACAUCUAAGCAAACCUCCAGGACAAUGACGCCUCGGAAAUGUCUCUCCUCUUGCUUCUUAGUGUAUCCAAGCUGGACAGGGGAAAAGGAUCAUAGAAAAUCACGUAAGGUUGUUAAGCCAUCUCAAAUAAAGAAGACAAAAAAUGUCAGAACAAUUAUCAAAAUAUAACAUUUAGGAAAAAUCAUGAUUGCAUAAAUCAUAAAGUAGAUUUAUUAACCUUCCCACUCUUCUCAUUUAGAACAAACCACCUUUUGCUCCAUUCAUUAUUUUUUGCACUUCUCUUCAAAGUAACCUGGUGAAAAAAAGAAAAAAAUAUGUAACUAAUUGAAGUAUGACAAUGGCUCUGCACAGUUGGAAAACAAAUAAUAACAAAAUAUGGCUACAUUACACAUAAAUCUAAAUGCAAGUAUUGUAUACAAAUAGUAAAAGGUUACAUAAGAGUUAUGAAUAAGUAAACAAUUAACCAAAUAUAUUAUUUUUUUAUAAAAAUGGUUCAUACAAGGCAACCAAAAUUUUAGAAACCUAAAGUGUUCUAGUACAGUUAUAUAUGGAAAAAAACACUGCCAAAUUGCUAUGAGAAUAAAUGAUGGUUGUUCCAUCUACGGCACAUUAUCAUACCUGCAGUUAUUUCGCCACCAGGCCCAGCAACCUGCAAAUUUGGUCCCUCCUUUGUAUCCUUAUCUUGCUGAUUGGAUUUAUCCUUCAUUGAUUUCAGGUUACCACCACCUUCAUCAGAUACUGUUUGGGGGCUUGAAGCCUAAUGAAUGAAAAAGAAUGUUAACAGCCACGAAAAAAACUAAUACUGAGAAUAUAGUGGUGAAAGGGAUUCUCAACGCGUUCGAGGGGUGUUCAGGACUAAAGAUCAACUAUGACAAAACAGAAAUUUUCCCAAUUCGAUAUCCAGCAUCUUUAUGGCCAACGCUAAUGGACGUGUUCCCUGGAAAUUACUCUAGCCUACCCGGAAAGUAUCUAGGGCUACCCCUUCAUUACAGGAAUGUAAAAAGGACUGAUCUCCAACCACUAAUCGAAAAAAUUAACAACAGGUUGGCUGGUUGGAAAGGUAAACUGUUGUCCAAGGCUGGUAGGGAAACUCUAGUAAAAUCGGUGCUAUCUGCACAGCCAAUCUACCAUCUAACGGUUUUUCCGCCUCAUAAAUGGUUGCUGCAUUCAAUUGACAAAAUGAGACGCAACUUCCUGUGGAAAGGGAACAAUCCAGAGGCUUGCUCCGGGGGUCAUUGCCUUAUCAACUGGCCCACUACUUGCCUCCCAAAGAGUAAGGGGGGUCUUGGAAUUCUGGAUCUUGAGCGUUUUGCGAGGGGAUUAAGACUAAGAUGGUUAUGGCUACGAUGGAAGAGUAAAGACAGGGCGUGGACUGCCAUGAAGCUUCCUUGUGACAGUACUGAUGAAGAUCUCUUCAAUGCAUCCACAAUGGUGACGGUUGGCAAUGGAAAGAUAGCUGAGUUCUGGAAAUCUAGCUGGGUCCAUGGUCAAGCCCCUAAGAGCAUUGCACCUACACUCUUCAGGAAGACAAAGAGGAAGAAUAUCACGGUUGAAAAAGCACUUACUAACAACAAUUGGAUACGAUUAUGCUUCCCAUGCUCGGGGGAGGUUGAGCUUAGAGAGUUCGUCUCUCUUUGGCAGGCCAUAAGUAACAGGCAAGAACUCAAUGGGUUGGAAGACACCAUUACUUGGAAAUGGUCGGCUGAUGGGCAGUACAGUGCAAGCAGUGCUUACAACAUCCAAUUCUCAUCCAACUACAGUACAAUGAAUCUCUGCCCUAUUUGGAAGGCUAAGGUGGAACCGAGGUGCCGUUUCUUUGCCUGGACAUUACUUCAUAAGAGAAUCCUAACGGCCGAUAACCUUCUUAAAAGGGGUUGGCCUUGCAACCCAUUAUGCUGUCUCUGUAACUCGGCCCCAGAAACAAUUCUACACUUAUGCAAGGACUGCUCCUUCAGUAGAGAGGUGUGGAACAAAGUGUUGUCCUGGGCCAACCUUCCUUUCUUGAAUGGGAUUCUCAGCGACACAUCUUUGUAUGAUUGGUGGACGGGUCUGCGUAGCCUUUGCAACAGACAAUCAAGAAGAUGCUUCGACGGCCUGCUAAUUCAUUUUUGGUGGAAUUUAUGGCUGGAAAGAAAUAACAGAAUUUUCCAUAGUCAGCAUAGAAGUGUUAAUCAAGUGGCCCUUGCAGUCAUCGGAUAUUGCUAGUAGCUGUGGUCUUGUUGAUCUGGUCUAGUGGGUUUUUUGGCUCUUCUCCUUUUAUUUUUUCUUUCUUAUCCUCUACCCUCUGGUUUUUUGGUUUGUAUCUCCCAUUUCUUUGCUCUCUAAUCUAAUAUAUCUCGGAGUGGCAAGUCUUUUGCCCCUUCCUUUCAAAAAAAAGAAUAUAGUGGUCACUUUUUUAGUACAGCUCUUAAGCAACACAGAUUUGUGCAUCCUGAGAAAAGAGGCAGAAGUCAAACCCGGUUCAUCUUGAACUGUUCUGCAUCUUGCCCUUUCUUAGAUGCUCUGUUAUUUUUCAACUCAUCCUCACGGCGCUGUCUUUCCAUUCUGCAAAACCACACCAAGAACACAGAAAUGGAACCUCACUUAUUGGUAGCGCAUCAUUUCAUUUGGGGGGGGGGGGAUACUGAAGCCUUCUUGCUAUUAAAAUUUAGGGUGAUGGUGUCAUUUAGGUUUUUUUGUGUUGGCAAGAUUUUUAUGACAAAAUAAAUCAAAAUUAGGAAAGAGAAGGAUUGCUAAAUGAAAUUUAUGCAAUACAUAAUGACAUAAAUCAGGUAGAGCAGAUUAUUUGUUAAACUUACAUUACAGCAUAUUUAAUAAAAUAGGCAAUAUAUUUUUUCAAAGCGUACUGACCUCCUCUGUACUAAUCGGAUGAAGUGUUGUGGAGGAACAAAAGCUCGCUCCAUAUCAACAAGUGCAACCACCAUCUUUUUCGCGUCAAUUUUGAAAGCAUCUAAUGCAUUAGAUGCAAUUGCAAUGACCUUAGCAAAGGAAUGUCAUGUUCAGAAAUUAGGCUUAACAUGAAUAGUAAAUGCAAGUAGAAAAAAGAAGGGAAAACUGGUUACAGCAAAAGAGCAAAGUCAUACCUCCCGCUUGAAUGGAGGGUAUCUUCCUAGUCCUGGUGUAGCAUUUGCAGCAGCAUUUACUAUGUCUAACAAAACUCGGUGUACCUAGUGUGUGGAUAGACACAAUAACUAGUUAGCAUAUCAGAAGCUACAGAAUCAGUUAAAUAUUCAUGGAAGUGUGAUAAUCUAAAGGUACAAAAUAUAUCUUAACUGUUAAGUUUAUCUUCACCCAAAUUCAGGGGAAAAUAGAUCUAGACAAGUAAGUAGCUUUAACUGGUGUGAAUUCUAUCAAUUAAAACAUACCUCUUCAACACAGAGUCGUGAUGGCUCCUUGGCCUUUUCAAGAACUCCUUUUUUUAAGGAUCGUAAACCCUUCUCUGGAGAUAUCAAAUAAGGUUGAUAGCCAUCCGCUUCCAACACAAUCUAUAAGAAGAGAAUUCCAUUCAUUAUAGGCCAUUGCACAAUCAAUAAUUAAAUAUAGAACAGCUUUUGAAAUUUACCCUCUUCAUGUUAUUCAAAUCAAAAUGCCUGUCCAAUGGAAGUUGUUUAAUCCUAUCAGGAAACUUGCCUUCAAAACUUGCAACUAUUUUCCAACCGGACCCCUUUGAGUGGAAACAGUACAACAAUCUAGUAAUCAGUUAUUUCAUUUGGCAACAUCUUAGAUACAAUCAGAAAGCCACUAACAGGGCUUGUCACUAACCUUACCAGAAGUAAUAUGAGCAAGAAAUUUAUCUUCAAAUUCUCGACAUAGCUCCAGAGCAACAGCUCUUGUUCCUUCAGCACUUUGUACCAUCUGUUCUCCUAGCCUUGCAAGUUCAUCUUGCACUAUCUGAGAUUUACCCUGAAGUCUGAAAUUGAAGCAGGGUGUAUGCAAUUUAAGCAUUAUGAGCUAAUAUAAACUCAACUGGUAGAUAUAAUAGGUGACUCGUAAAAAUUUCAUAGUUCAUUGGCCUAGUGACUAAUAGAAAUUAAAAGGAGCUUUCAGGGGCAAUCAUCAAAUUGACAUUUUAGUAGUCAAGUAAAAACUGACGAUGUAUCAGUUUUUCACAUGGCGUCAUCUUACCAUUCGAAUGUCGGUUCGUAACUACAGAUGCAAAAGUUGUGGUAGGAUCAUUGAGGGUGUGUUUGGUUCAGUUGUGAGCUGUCUACUGUAAAAAAGUUAAAAGUCGUUUGGUUCAAACUGUUGUGAGUUGUCUACAGUAAACAAAUUGUAUACUGCUUAUAUGCUCUUUGUUUAACUAUAUAUAUCUCUUAAUCAAUGUAUCUAAUUAAAAAACGAUUUCGUAUUAAUGUUCCUGAUAUUUCAAUAAAAUAAAACUAAACUCCACAUGCUAUAUAAUUUUUUUAUUAAAAAAAUAUAUUUUGUUUCAUUUAUUCUAACACUUCAUUAUUUUUAGUCCCAUCUUAUUUUCAAUUUGCCAUAUCUCUUCAUUAAUAUAUUGAAUUAAUAAAUCAAUUUUACAGUUCCAUUUUUAAUAUUUUUUAUUAAAAAUAUUUUUAUUUCGUUUAUUAUAACACUUAAUUAUUUUUAAUCUCAUUUUAAUUUCUAUUUUUCGUAUCUUUUUAUUAAUAUAUCGAACUUGGAUAAGCAGCAAAAAGUAGGGUCCAAGUUGCUUUCAAAUUUGUACUACAAAAAACUGUUUUUCCAAAGUAGCAGCAGAAAAGCUGAACCCCUUUGGUUUAGCUUCUGGUUUUUCAAAGCAGAAGUAGGUUCAAAAGGUUGAACCAAAUGCACCAUGAGUCAACAUGUCGACUUUUAUUUGGACUUAACUGGAAGUUAGUACAGACAAGAACAUUUGCAAUCAUACAAUUCUAAGAUGUUUCAUUAGAUGAGAAUUAACUCGAUCCUCAAAGGCUUUUUGUUGAAUGAUAGAAGAAAAAGCCUAGAGCAUCUAACCUAAAUGCAGUUACAUAUUGUUACCGACUCCUCGCUGGUGAGUCUGUAACCUUAGUUUCCUGGUGUCCUUCAAUGGGGAGUGGAGAGGGAGAUUGGAGUGGCGCAAGGUGUAUUGAAGAAGAGGGCGCUGAUCACCUAGAUCUCCUGCGCCGGUGUCGUGCCUGGCCAGGAUGAUCCCAGGUGAUCUCGCCCAAACAGAAGGGAGAUCUUAUUCCUGGUUGAUUAUUACAGCUGAUGCCCAGCCGCCUUUAUAGCCAUAGGCGGUCUCAGGAUAGACAUAUCUACUGCUACUAUUUUUUUUUCUCGAAUACGCAGGAGAGUUGCGUAUCAUUAUAUUAAGUAGAAAAAGAUGGGGUGAGGUGUUAAAGAACCUCAUACAACUCAACACACCACCCAACAAAAGAAAAUGAGCAGGAGCACCAGUACACUAAGCAUACUAGAGACCUGUAGGAAACGGGUGACGCCUAAGAGGGGGGGUGAAUUAGGACUUCUAAAAGUUUUACUAAACUAGGCCACAAUUAAAUCCCUAGAGCAAAACCUAUGCAAAUAAUCAAAACUAGAAUGUGUAAACUCGGUUUUGUCUAAGUGUUGCUAUCUCUACCGCAAAGGCUAAGUUUCAAUCUACACUAAAUAAGUAUGACAAUAAGAUUGAAACUUAAAUGCUUAAUAUAAAUGCGGAAUGUAAAGAGCUAAGUAGAGAAGCAAACUCUCGUGGAAGACGCCGGUAUUUUUACCGAGGUAUCCGGAACCACGCAAGGUUCCGACUAAUCCUCGUUGGUGCCCCUACGCAAAGGGAAGCCCACGCGAGGGCCAAGCACCACGGUCGAGUAACUCCGUAGAGAGCCACGGGCCUUCUCCACGCGCAAGUGGUGCUCCGCUUCCGGCUCCUCUCGGACGCUCCCCGCCGUCUCCACUAUCGAGCUUCCGGUCGAAACGCCGCGGGCCUCGUUCCCUCCGGUACACGGUGGCGGCCGUGACACAAACGCGGUUGUCACGGUCUCGCAAGACUCUCGCCCCACUCGGUACAAUUACAACGACUCACGCAAGAGCCGAGGGGUUGUGUGGUUUUACAAAACUCACUCAACUAACUAGGAUUCACCUAGAGCAAGCGCUAAAGCGGUCUAACUAACCUAAGCACUUCGCAAAGCACCUACGCUAAUCACCGAGUGAUUCUAUUAAGCACUUGGGUGUUUGAGCACUUGGAAAUAUGCACUAUGUGUCUUGGUAUGUUGCUUGGGCUCUCACACUUGAGAAUGGCCGGUUGGGGGUGUAUUUAUAGCCCCCAACACAAUUGUAGCCGUUGGAGAAAAGCUGCUGCUCUCUGCGGCACACCGGACAGUCCGGUGUGCACCGGACAGUCCGGUGUGCACCGGACAGUCCGGUGGUGCACCGGACAGCGCACUGUAGCCUGUCCGGUGCGCCUAGCCGUUGCCUGUCCGACUCCUGUCAGAGCAGGUGACCGUUGGCGCCGCAGGCUCCGGGUGCCAUCUGGAACUAGCCGUUGGGCUGAAGUUCCCAGGUGCACCGGACAGUCUGGUGCGUGGGCACCGGACAGUCCGGUGUGCCACCGGACAGUCCGGUGCUCAACGCACAGACAGUCCGCAGGCAGCACACGCCUCCUUUCUUGGACUUUUCUUGAUCUUCUUAAUGUCUUCUUUUGAGGUGUUGCUUUCCUCAAUUCCUUAGUCCAAGUAGUUCUUGCAUCCUGUGAACUACAAACAUAAACACUAGAAAACUUGUUAGUCCACAGAUUGUGUUAAUCAUCAAACACCAAAACUUACUUAGCCAAUUGGCCCGGGGUCCAUUUUCCUUACAAUCUCCCCCUUUUUGGUGAUUGAUGACAACACAACCAAAGCAAGCAAAUAAUACAAGUAUUUGAAUUAAAAUAUGCAAUCUACUUGCUAAGAUGCAUGAUUAUCCCCACAAUGUGAAAUUAUGGAUUUAAGCCUCCCCCUAACUCCAUAAUUCACUUACUUCCUAUAUUUGGACCAAAUAACCAAAACCACUUGAAAAACCAUUUGUAGAUAUAAAAUUUUAAAUUGGUGGUGUUUGGUGUUUGAUAAAGUUUUCAUUGCUUUGGUCCCUAAACUUCUCCCCCUUUGGCAUCAACCACCGAAAAGGAAGACAUUAAAAGCAUGUAGGAAGUAAAUAAAAGCUUGCCCUCAACAAGAAUUGUAUCAAAUGAUAUCACUAGAAGGAUAUUAAAAUAAACCAUAUGAAUGAUACCAGUUGAAAGGAACUCCCCCUAAAUGAGUGUUCUCUUUAGAAAGAAGUUUCUCCCCCUUUUUAGAGAUGAAGAAAUACUCCCCCAGACAGAGAUCCUCUACUUAGGAAAAAGCAUGUGAAAAAUUAGAGGUGCAAGACAUGGUUCGAAAAGACUAACUUCCCUUAUGCAUAGGUAACAGAAUAUGAGUUAACUACUUAUGCAUUUUUAGCAACAUGGAAGCAUAUGAUAUGAAAUAUAGUCUAAUCAAAUAUUGGAGAAGACAUGUAAAUGAUACUGAAUGUAGUCUCAAAAGAUAGCAAUUGAAGAUCAAUGGCGAGCUUGAGAGACAUGAGAGUUCUUGGAGAUUUCGCAGUGGAAGAUUGUUGUCUUUCUCCGGGGACUUCAUUUUCCUUACAAUGAGACUAUCACAUGAAAUAGACUUGAAAAGGUGUUAGUCUCAAAGUGUUAGAUUAUAGAGUAACCUCCCCCUUAAGGUGUGCAUACAAGUUUUGAAUACUUGUAGGAGACAUGCACUUUGAUUUGAUAUCAAGAGGGGCAAAUUAUCCAUAAUCCAAACUUUGGCACAUAUAAGUUAAAUGAUACACUUUGUAGAAAUCAAAAUUUUCAAUUGAUGCAUCAUUUACUAUGGAGUGAUAUAAAAGCUAUGUGCCGUGCUUUAACUAAACAUUUUAAGCCAUGUAGGUUUGCUUAAGUAUAUGAAUUUAAAAACUAGCAAUCCUACCAUAUGAUUUACCUAGUAUGCAUGAUUUUGAACAAAAGUACAUAACAAAUGUAAUACUAGGCAAGAAAGGUAAACUAGAUAAAAGAUAAAUAGAUACGCAUAUCUAAAAACGAGAAAUACAAUAAAACUAGUUACCUUAGUCAUGGGAGGGGAAAUUUGGGUCCAAAGUCUUUUACUAAUCCACUUGGCAAUAAACUCUAUCCAUUAUGAUGUAUCCCAUGAUAUACAUCCAAUCUUUGCCAAGUCUCCAAAUUUCCCGCAGACCUUCGGUCCACUCACUUCCCUUUCGGAAUCCAAACCUUCUUGGUGCUCUUCAUGGUUGAAAUUAUUUCCUUUGGCACCCAGAUGCGUUUGGCCCCCUUUCCUUUGUUGGCUUGCUUGUUGGCCUUGAUUGCUAUCACCUUUCCAUUCUUCUUAUUUUUGAUUAAGUAUGGUGUAGCAGUCUUUUUAUCCACCUUUUUGAUGUAGGUGUUGGAGAUUUUGCUUGAUGGCUUUUGCUUGAGCUUUUGCCUUUGUUUAUCCCCGGUCAUCGCCUUGCAUUGGAAAGACUUGUGGCCUUCCUUGUGGCAUAGCCUACAAAUCACAGUUUCUCCCUCCAUAGGCUUGUUCACUCCCGCAGUGGUGUUAUCCUGUGGAGGUUGGAUUUGUUUGGCUUUGCCUUUCUUGUCAUACAAAGCCUUGCCAAGGCGAGCCACUUCUUGCUUUAAUUGUUCAUUUUCCUUUGCAACCUCAUCCGAACAUGUCUCUACAACAAUAUUCUCAACAACGACUUGGUUGCAGGGGUUAGAAUCAUCAAUUAAAUCAAAGCAGGAAGUAGAAGCAUCUUUCUUAAUUAUUUCAGGUAUUUCAACUAAAGAUGUUGCUGGGGUGCUACCAAUGUUUUCUAGCUUAGUAGUUAGCUCAUUAUUGUGAAUGCUGAGAAUUUCCAUUUUCUCUAGCAAAUUUUCAAUAGCUUCUUGGGAGCUAGCUAACUUAGCUUUUAGUUUUUCAUUCUUUUUAAUAAGGCUAUCAUCGGUAGCAGUGGAUGGAGCACUAGAUUCUAAUAGCUCAAUUUUAGUUGAUAGCUCACUAUUUAAGUUUGCAAAAGAUUCAAAUUUUUCUAGCAAACCUUUGUAAUCAUUUUGAGAGCUAACCAACUUAUUUUUCAAAGUUUUAAGUUGAGCUUUUUGCUUAGUGCAAACAUCCUGGAAAAAUUCUACGGCUUCCGCAAGCUCAUCUACAGAGGGCUUUCCCUCACCUUCAUCAUCGCUACUACUUUCAUCACUAGAGGAUGGAAUGCUUUUGUUACCUCUUGCCAUAAGGCAUUUGUGUGAUGACCGUGAUGAGCGUGAUGAGGAUCGGUGGCUGCGCGUCCUUGGAGGUUCAUCUUCACUUGAAGAAUCAUCCCAAGUUCUAACACUUGUUAGCGCCUUGCCUUUGCUCCUCUCCUUUUUGGGUUCGGCCAAAGUUGGACAGCUGUCCCUGAAGUGGCCCUUCUCCCCACAUGCGAAGCAUCCUCUCUUUCUUUGCUUUUUCCUAUCAAUGUUAAAGAGAAGAUCCUCGACCUGCAGGGGCACACCCAUUAGAUUAAUCUUGCGGAUCAUCCUCAUUACCUUUCCGACGCGUCGGAUUGUUUCUUCGUCCUCGGAGGAUGAUGUGCAUGGUUGAUUAUCUUCAUCAUCAUCACUUUCUUCUUCUUCCUCUUCUUCACUUGAGGAACUUGGAGUGGGAGCCUUCUUUUUGCCCUUCCUUUCAUCACAUGCAAAAGCAUAUGGUCUUGAGGAAGUUGGCUCCUCUCCCCGACUUAUUUUUCGCGACAUCUCGAAGGCCGCGAUUUUCCCAAUCACAAUGGUCGGGGUCAUGUUGCUCAAGUCCUCCAUGUUGUGAAGGAUGGUGAUGAUGCUCCCAUAUCUUUGUUGUGGUAGCAGGGAGAUAAUCUUCCUCACAAUGUCCGCAUCGCCUAGCUUAUUAAUGCCAAUAGAGUUGAGCUCAUUGAUUAUUAGAUUCAAACGAGAAUACAUGUCUCUAACAAGCUCAUCAUCUUUCAUAGCAAAAGAAUUAUACUCAUUUAAGACUAGGCAAUGUUUUUGCUCACGGACAUUGGAUGUGCCGUCAUGGAGCUCAUGCAAUUUUAGCCAAAUCUCAUUAGCAGUUUUCAAGGUAAAUACUUGAUUAAAAAUAUCCAUGCUAAGAGAUUCAUACAAGCAAUUUUUGGCUCUAGCAUUUAAGUGAAUUUCUUUUUCCUCACUCGUGGUUGGUUUCUCGGGAUUCUUGAGGGGUUUCAUCCCGUCACGAGUGACUCUCCAAACACCUAGAUCAACGGCCUCUAGGUAGCAAGCCAUUCUAGCACUAUAAUAUGGGAAGUUAGUGCCGUCGAAGUGUGGUGGCCUAUGGGUAUCCAUCCCUUCCUCUAAAAAGCGUCGGCUCUUUUAGCGGUGAAGCUAAAAACGUUUCAAAUGAGCCAAACCAGGCUUUGAUACCACUUGUAGGAAACGGGUGACGCCUAAGAGGGGGGGUGAAUUAGGACUUCUAAAAGUUUUACUAAACUAGGCCACAAUUAAAUCCCUAGAGCAAAACCUAUGCAAAUAAUCAAAACUAGAAUGUGUAAACUCGGUUUUGUCUAAGUGUUGCUAUCUCUACCGCAAAGGCUAAGUUUCAAUCUACACUAAAUAAGUAUGACAAUAAGAUUGAAACUUAAAUGCUUAAUAUAAAUGCGGAAUGUAAAGAGCUAAGUAGAGAAGCAAACUCUCGUGGAAGACGCCGGUAUUUUUACCGAGGUAUCCGGAACCACGCAAGGUUCCGACUAAUCCUCGUUGGUGCCCCUACGCAAAGGGAAGCCCACGCGAGGGCCAAGCACCACGGUCGAGUAACUCCGUAGAGAGCCACGGGCCUUCUCCACGCGCAAGUGGUGCUCCGCUUCCGGCUCCUCUCGGACGCUCCCCGCCGUCUCCACUAUCGAGCUUCCGGUCGAAACGCCGCGGGCCUCGUUCCCUCCGGUACACGGUGGCGGCCGUGACACAAACGCGGUUGUCACGGUCUCGCAAGACUCUCGCCCCACUCGGUACAAUUACAACGACUCACGCAAGAGCCGAGGGGUUGUGUGGUUUUACAAAACUCACUCAACUAACUAGGAUUCACCUAGAGCAAGCGCUAAAGCGGUCUAACUAACCUAAGCACUUCGCAAAGCACCUACGCUAAUCACCGAGUGAUUCUAUUAAGCACUUGGGUGUUUGAGCACUUGGAAAUAUGCACUAUGUGUCUUGGUAUGUUGCUUGGGCUCUCACACUUGAGAAUGGCCGGUUGGGGGUGUAUUUAUAGCCCCCAACACAAUUGUAGCCGUUGGAGAAAAGCUGCUGCUCUCUGCGGCACACCGGACAGUCCGGUGUGCACCGGACAGUCCGGUGUGCACCAGACAGUCCGGUGGUGCACCGGACAGCGCACUGUAGCCUGUCCGGUGCGCCUAGCCGUUGCCUGUCCGACUCCUGUCAGAGCAGGUGACCGUUGGCGCCGCAGGCUCCGGGUGCCAUCUGGAACUAGCCGUUGGGCUGAAGUUCCCAGGUGCACCGGACAGUCUGGUGCGUGGGCACCGGACAGUCCGGUGUGCCACCGGACAGUCCGGUGCUCAACGCACAGACAGUCCGCAGGCAGCACACGCCUCCUUUCUUGGACUUUUCUUGAUCUUCUUAAUGUCUUCUUUUGAGGUGUUGCUUUCCUCAAUUCCUUAGUCCAAGUAGUUCUUGCAUCCUGUGAACUACAAACAUAAACACUAGAAAACUUGUUAGUCCACAGAUUGUGUUAAUCAUCAAACACCAAAACUUACUUAGCCAAUUGGCUCGGGGUCCAUUUUCCUUACAAGACCAACUCCUCAAAUAGUAUGCCGAGGUAAAAGGAUAUCAGAUAAUCCGCGAGCCCCAGCCCUACACCAAAGAUGAGACUCAGCCAUGACCCAAUUUAUGACCUUGCUAGCCCUAGGCUGCUCUCCGUUGAAGACACAUUGAUUGCGAUGAAUCCAAAUGGCCCAAGCUCCUAAAAUGAUAAGGGAGUUCAGCCCCUUGCGCAGCUUCUUAUCGGAGGGGCUAAUAAGGGUCAUGCUUACAUUCUCCCACCAAUCAUCAAAGGAAGAAGAAUCGAGACUGGGAGAGGUGCUGCAAACCGACCGUUUUCAGGAUAUUAAACCAGACUUCCCUUGAGAAGACACAGGAAACUAGCAGAUGAUUCAUAGUUUCUUCCUCCUGGUCACAUAACAGACAACUUUGAGGAUGAGGCAGGCCUCUCCUUGCCAGCCGGUCAGCGGUCCAGCAGCGGUCGUGCGCCACCAGCCACAUGAAGAAUUUACAUUUUCCAGGAGCCCAACUCUUCCAAAUCCUCCUCCAUGACCUAAAGGUUGUUGAGCCAAUAAAGAAACCAUCAUAGGCCGACUUGGCGGUAUAAUUUCCUGAACUAGAGAGCAGCCAAAGAUGCUUAUCUUCCUGUUCCGGGUGCAAAAUCCAGCUGGCAGUGAGGUCCCAGACUUGAAAAAAUUCAGUCAACACAUUAACAGUAAUAGCCCCUCUAAUGUCCUGAACCCAGCUUCCAGUAGUGAGGGCAUCCUGAACACUCCUUUUCCUAGCCCUUGAAGAUACCAACCUGACAAGAUGAGGUGCCAACUGUUGUAGGCUUUGGCCAUUUAACCAUUUAUCUGUCCAAAAUAGAGUAUUCCUGCCAUUGCCCACUUCAGAAGAAACUGCUGCAGAAAAGAAGGCCAGAACUGAAGGGUGCACAUGAAAAUUGAAGGCUGCCCAAGGCCGGUCAGGUUCAGUUUUUUUAAACCAGAGCCAACGCAAUCUGAGGGCCCAACACAUAUGCUGCAGGUGGGAGAUGCCCAAGCCUCCAAGCUCUUUAGGUCUAGUCACUUUGUUCCAGGCCACCAAACAGUGGCCACCCAUAGCUUCUUUUCUUCCACGCCAAAGGAAAUUUCUCCGAAUUUUGUCAAUGGCCUUUAAAGCCCAAGAAGGAAGGUCCAAUGCCAUAGCUAAAUAAACCAUCAUCGAAGAUAGAACUGACUGAACAAGAAUCAGCCUUCCAGCCCUAGAUAGCAGGUCAACUUUCCAACUAGGCAGGCGAUCUGCAAUCUUAUCAAUGAAUGGCUGAAUGUGAUGUUUACCACAUAAAAAGGAACUAACCUAUUAUUUAGGAACUACUACUAUUUAGCCACAUAGAAAGGAACUAACCUAUUAUUUAGGAACUGAUUAAAUAGAAACUAUUCCUGACUUAUCUCCUCUUUCCUAUUUCUGCGCCUUGUGAAUUGGCGGCCCACAAAAGCAUCUAUAACAUUUCCCUCCUCUCCGACAAACAACUCGUCCUCGAGUUGUAUUUCUGGAUAUCUUCUCUUGAACUCAUUACAUUGUUCCCAUGUAGCAUCAGUCGGCUCACGUCCAAGCCACUGGACCAGUAACUCCCAAACACCUCUAUUUAAACGAGCCUUCACUACUUGUGCUGGAACCGGAAGUACCUUGCCAUGCAGAAUCGUUGGUAAGGGUACUAGUGCGGAUGGGGGCUCCCCUUGGAAUUUCUUGAGAAGUGCCACAUGAAAAACAUCAUGGAUUCUUGCAUUGGUUGGCAGCUGUAGCUUAUAGGCGACCUCUCCAAUGCGUUGCAGAAUUUGAUAUGGCCCAUAGAACUUAGGUCCUAAUUUGGAUGUUGCUGCUGGAGUGACACCCAUUACCGACCUUUGGUGCAGACGCAACCAAACCCAAUCGCCGACAACAUACUGCACAUCUCAACGACCACUGUCCUGUGCCUGCUUCAUUGUUACCUGAGCUUGGAUUAGCCUUUGUUUGAUGUCUACCAAGAAAACAUCUCGAUCCUGAAGUUGCUGAUCGACGGCAGCUACUCUGGUUGUCCCAGGUGUGUAAGAAAGCAUUGUUGGAGGGUCCCAGCCAUAUACAAUCUUGAAUGGAGUGCACUUGACCGCAGUCUGGUAUGACGUAUUGUAACAAAAUUCAGCCCAUGGAAGCCAUUGUAACCAAGUUUUUGGCCGAUCACCUGCCAAGCAGCGUAAGUACAUCACAAUAAUUCUGUUAACCACUUCCGACUGUCCAUCGGUCUGGGGGUGAAACGCGGAACUAAGUAACAACUUGACCCCAGCAAGGUGAAAAAGCUCGGACUAGAAGGCACUAGUAAACACUGUAUCUCUAUCACUUACAAUUGAGCACGGAAUACCAUGAAGGCGCACAAUCCCUUCGAAAAAUGCCCUAGCCACGGUCACUGCGGUAUAUGGAUGGCCAAGAGGAAUAAAGUGGGCGAACUUAGAGAACCUGUCGACCACUGUUAAUACCACUAUCUUGCCACCAACCUUAGGAAAUCCUUCAACAAAGUCCAUGGAGAUGUCGUUCCAAAUUUCCGAUGGUACCGGCAGGGGUUGCAGCAGACCUGCUGGAUGUAGAUGCUCAGUUUUAUUCCGUUGGCAAGUGGCGCAUGCUUGCACAAAUUCUCUGACCCGUCGUAAGGCCUGUGGGCUGUAGAAGGAUGCUCUCCAUCGAUGUACAGUCUUCUCAAUGCCCUCGUGACCACAAUUGUGUGCUGCUGCCAGGAUUUCUGUCCAAACUGCCAAAGCGUCCGGGAUGAAGACCUUCCCUUGAAAUAGUAGCAGACCAUCAGCUUCCGUCCAUCCUGAUUUUGCAGUUCCCGCUGUAAUGGCAGCCCGCAAGCUUAAGACCUGUGGGUCGGUGGCAGCUUCAUUGCGAAGGGUGUCAAACAGCUGAAAAUGUGGUGCCAAGAUGCUGUUAAUUUCUGCGGUGUCUUCGUCGCGUCGAGACAAGGCAUCUGUUGCACCAUUCAAUUUGGCCGUCCUAUACUCCACUGGCAGAUCAUAUCCAAACAAUUUGCUGACCCAUGUAUGUUGCGGUAUUGUAGAUAACCGUUGAAGGAGGAAUUUAAGGCUAUAGUGAUCUGUCCGUAUCAGAAAAGUUCUUCCCCAUAAAUAUGGUCUCCAAUUCCUCACUGCUUUGACUAAAGCGAUCAAUUCCCGCUCAUACGCUGGUAAUUUCUGAUUGUGUGGUGCUACAACACGGCUGAAAUAUGCAAUGGCCCCAUCUCCUUGAUGAAGGACUGCUCCAAAACCAGUCCCUGAUGCAUCACAGUCCACUAUAAACUGUUUAGAAAAAUCCGGCAUCUGUAACAGUGGUGCUGAUAUAAGGGCUUGCUUGAGUUGAAGAAAUGCCUCAUCUGCCCUUUCCGACCAACGGAACGCCUCACGCUUGAGAAGAGCCGUGAGGGGUGCAGCUAUGGUCCCAUAAUCCGCUAUAAACUUGCGGUAAUAGCCAGUGAGACCCAAGAAACCUCGAAGUGCCCGAAUGGAUCGAGGGCACGACCAAACUUCUACUGCUGCCACCUUAUCCAAAUCCAUAGAAAUGCCCUGAGCUGAGAUAACAUGACCCAAGUAAGCGACUGAUGUUUUGCCAAACGAACACUUGGACUGUUUGACUGAUAACUUGUUUGCUCGGAGUGCUGUAAAUACUUCCCUGACAUGUUGUAAGUGCGCUGCCCAGGAAGAGCUGAAUACCAGAAUAUCAUCGAAGAAGACCAGGACAAACUUCCGGAUGAAGGGUUUCAGGACAUCAUUCAUGAGGGCCUGAAAUGUGGACGGUGCGUUGGUGAGGCCGAAGGGCAUGACUAGAAACUCGAAGUGGCCUCGAUGAGUGCGGAACGCUGUCUUCUCAAUAUCAUCUGGGUGCAUGCGUACUUGGUGAUAUCCACUGCGGAGGUCCAACUUUGUGAAGAAGCAGGCACCGUGUAACUCAUCCAAGAGUUCGUCGACCACCGGAAUGGGAAACUUGUCCUUGACUAUUUUGGUAUUGAGGGCCCGAUAGUCAAUGCAGAAACGCCAGGAUUUAUCAGCUUUCUUCACAAGUAACACUGGAGAAGAGUAGGCCGAUGUGCACUCCCGAAUGAUGCCUUGCUGCAACAUGUCUUCGCAUUGGCGCUCGAUCUCGUCUUUCAACAAUUGGGGGUAUCUGUAGGGCCGAACUGCAACUGGUGGCGUCCAUGGCAGCAGCCUGAUGUGAUGGUCGUGACACCGAGGUGGCGGAAGGCCAUGUGGUUCAGCGAAGAUGUCGGCGUAGGACUGCAGUAAUGCUUGUAGUAGUUCGCGGGGUUCGGACAGGGCUGCGCACUGAGUAUGUGGCGCACCCAGUCCUACCCAACGCACCUUGCGUCCCUGGCGCCAGAACUCCAUGGAUAAGGCAUUGAAGUUCCACAAUAUGGGUCCCAAUGACCGAAGCCACUGGACCCCCAGGACAAUGUCGAAGCUGGCCAGAGGAAGACCGUAGCAGGUGAUGUGGAAGGUCUCCUCGAGAAUAGUAAUUCGGAGCUUGGAAUAUAUCCCGCUGCUGGCGACGUUGUCCCCGUUUUCUACCUUGACGGAGAGACCCGGUCUUGGUGUGACUUGGAGGCCCAGCUGGGUGGCCACAACUUCCCGGAUGAAUGUGUGGGUAGAGCCUGUGUCCACCAGCGCCACCAAUGUCCGAUCCUUGACCCUGACCUAGAGCUUCAUGGUGUUGCUGAUGUCAAUGCUCGUGAGGGCAUGAAGAGAAAUGCCCAGGUCUUCCGCUGCUACAUCUUCCUCCAUGUCGUUGUCCAUUUCCAGCAAGAAUACCCCCCUUGCGGUGCACUUGUGAUCAGCCGAGUACUUCUCGUUGCAGUGGUAACAUUCUCCACUUGCCCGUUUCGCUGCUAAUUCUUCUGGUGUUAGACGUCUGAAACACGACCGAUUUGUAGCAGCCGGCCUGACCCCCGGUCCUGAACCAGUCCCUUUGAUGGCGGACGGGUUCCGGUGACUUUGUCUAUCUCUGAGUGCUGCAAUGUUCUCCUCCUUGCGCUCAUAAGCACGGGCCAGACUCAUUGCGGUCUGCAGGUUUGUCGGGGCCAGCAGCUCGACAUCGGUGCGGAGGGGAUCUCCAAGACCUGCUGUAAACAUGUUCACCUGCUGCAUAGGAGACAAGUCAUCACAGCGACAAAGCAAGACUGAAAACUGUCGCUGAUAUGCCUCCAUGGUGCCUGUCCUAUAAAGGGCUUUCAGUUCUGCCAGGCCAUUAGAUCGAAUGGGUGGUCCAAACCUCAUGUGGAUGUAGUCAACAAAUCACGCCCACGACAGAAUGCCAUGAUCACGUUCCAGGGCAUAGUACCACUUGGCUGCUGCUCCCUCCAAGUGUAAUGAUGCUAGCCAAACUUUUUCUUCUGCCAUGGUUCGCAUCCCUCGGAAAUAGGUGUUGCACUUGUUGAUCCAUGUCAAUGGAUCUGAUUCGCCGUCGAAGGAUGGAAAGUUGGGUCGCGGUGGACGGUCGCCGCCUUCGUCGUCACGACCCCGACCGCGACCAUAGCCAUCUGGUCGGCCAUAACGAUCCGGGCGGAUGUAGAAUUCGCUGCCCCCAUCACUACGCCCACGACGUGGGGCCUGACGGCCACCAUUGUUGCUGUUGUGGUCGCCCUGGUGUGGUGGUCCGUCGCCGUCGUCAAUCUCUGUGAUUUCUUCCAACUGGACGCCGCCGGGUGGAACCGUUUCCACCCGCGCCAAUCGACGAUCAUGGGUGUCCAGCCGACCAUUCAUGGUUGUCAGCUGACCCAACAUCCUGUUCAUUGCGUCCAUGAGGAAGUCCAGCUUCUGUUCUGCAAAUAUAGUGUGGCAUUACAAUUUUCAUUUCUUCAUUAUAGGGUACAUUAGCAAUUGAUUUAUAGACUUGUUUGAGACAUUCUUUAGCAUGGGUCAGGUGUUUGUAGGAGAUCUGCAUUCUUUCCAACGUAUCUCCUACAAAUGGCCAGACUUGGAACAUCUCGCAAGUCGCAAAUGUGCUACGAAUUAUCCUUUCUGAUGUAUAUUUUCAAGUUUGAAGAAAUAUUCAUGACCCAUAUUAUGAACAUAGUUACCAUCUCCUUUCUGUACAUAUGUAGAAGUACUAUUUUGCUAUGAACAGGCUAUAAUUAGGCCAAAAGAAAAUGUUCAUAUGUUCGUCGUGUUCAUAGUGAUUUUUAUUGGAGGCGAUUCUUGUGGCAAUUGAGUGUUUGUCUUGUGUGUCUGAUAAAAGAUAAAAGUCUGGUAACACUGUUCAUAUAGAGGGUCGAAUUUAGAGGACAUUGCUGAAGAAGAAAAUAUAGAGGACAUAAUCUUUCAAAGAGUGUUGUAAAUGAUAGAGAAUAUUCUUUUAGGGAAUGAAAUUUAGGAGACGUUACUGGAGACAGUCUUAGUGUUCUAUCCGCGAAGUCUAGCGAAUGGACACAUUCUUUACCCAUCCAGCAAAAAACCUAAAGUAGUGGAUGGUCCUGGCACACGCUAUUGCUAGUGCGUCCUCUCCACUCGUCGAGCUACGACAGAUGACAUGGUCGUCGGAAGACGGAGGCACGAUACCGGUGCCUACAAGACCUACCUCGAGUAAUCGAGUUGCCACGAGCAGACGACAGAGGACCCGGUGGCGAUGCACUCUAGCGCAGGAUUGACCUCCUUCGAGACCAUCGGGUCAAGAGCCACGGCAUGUGCAUCGACGGCAAGUUUGGCCGCUGGUAUGGCAAGCACGGGAAACCUCCGGCGACGCUGCUAUGGGCAGGAGCUGGGCAUCUUGGCGGUCAUCUAGGCAUCUUCGCGGACAUGAGCAGUGCUCGGCCAUAGGCAUGAACACGACAAAUCCCGAGCGAUGCAUUCAACUUGUUCGGUGAAAUGUGUGAUAAGCAAUAUAAACACUUAAACUAUGUUUUUGUGUGUGCAAUGUGGAUUAUUAUGUACAAAAUAAAGAACGAAUUAUUUUUCAUAAUUACUAUACGUUCACAAAUUGUAGUAGUGAAAAAUUAAAAUUAUGUAUUUUUAAGUAUGGGCGUGACCACGAAUUCAAAUUAUACGAAAACCAAUGAAUAAAUAAUGUUGGAUAUGGAUUUUGUUAACACUGUAGAUAUAGAUGACGAAAUUUAGGGAACGUUGCUGGGAAAAGAAAGAUAUAGAUGAUAAAAUCUUUUAGAGUGGUGUGUAGAAGACAAAGAAUAUUCCUUUAGAGAACUAGAUUUAGGGGACGUUUGGAGACAACCUUACUUACUAUCCAUACUCAUAUCCACAAAAAACUCUGUCGGGUCAUCCAUAUCUACUAGAGGUAUGAAUUUAUCCCAUACCAUAACUGGGUCACCCAUCAAGUUACUCAUGCCCAUAAAGAUUAAACAUCUAUCAAAUAAUAUGUUAUAUAAACAUCGAGUAUAUCCAUCUAAAUACCAUUACAAAAUUUCUAGCUUCAUUCAACCAUCCAAUCAACAACAUUAUAGAUAAUUGGAUAAAGUAGCAACACUACGAUAGUACCACAUAACACAUUACAUUUUCCAUUACGUGGAUCAAAUAAUUGUUAAACCUUUUAUGACAUUAUCAUCCCAAAAUGUUAAAUAGUCAAAAGAGAUGGAUGACUAGAGCCCAAGAUCAUGCUUUUGGGCCAAGUUUAUACUUGGUAUUUUAUACCCACGGAUUAAUAGGUAUGGGUGAGGACGGAACGUUCUAAUACCCGUUUACCCAUUUGGUGAAGGUUUUUGCCCAAUAAAACACUUAUGGAUAAAAUAUUUAGCACAUAUAUAUACCCCUGAUGAAGUAAAUAUCCGAUUAUCGGGUCGCGGGUACCUAUUGGCCAUUGUCAUCUCUAUGUGGGGAGGGGGUUUUGGGCGUGUUUGGUAAUUUUACCUGGAGAGCAUUUAUGAUAGUCUGUUACGAGAAUUCAAAGCGAGAGAGACUCUAACCGAGUUGGUUAGAUGUCUGAGUAGCACUUCUUAGGUCUUGAGUUUGACUUACUAUGGGAGCGAAUUUUAAAUGUUGGUUAAAAAAUGCUCUUGCCUGUCCCACGCAAAAGCCCAGGUCUAAGGCCUAGUCCUGAUUGCGAUCUUUUCUCACAUUGGCUACAGUGUCAUUAUGUAUGGGUGGGGCAGGGGUUCAGAAGUUUUCUCGACCUAUAUGAGAAGAUCUUAAUAUAAUGUCAGGGGUUGUUUUACCCCGCAGGUCGAGUUUUUUUUACGAGAAUUCAAUGGCUAGAGAAUCUGAGUGUUUGGCCAUUCUGAUUUUGUGUGUAGAUUGUGCGUAAAGAGUGUGAAAUGUUCAAAAUGCCACUGGAUUGUCUCAUUGUAGGUCGCUGUCACUUUAAUGUAAACUAGUAUAAUGCAUGUACGUUACGACAACACACAAUCAUAUUUGAUGCGUGUAAAAAUAACUUUAAUAUCAAAGUAAAUGCAUGAUCCAUAUAUCAUAUAUUAAACUAUUAAGAAAAAAAAUAUUACAUUUUAUCUUAGCCAAAAAGAUGAAAAACAUAUGAAUUAAAAAGGAGUCUGGCCCUUUUUUAUAGAUCGCUCACCCGCUCGUCGCUAGCGAUGUGAUACAAUAUAGGAGCGUUGUGUUGCGUAUGUCUUUCUGUCGUGUUAGUCUUGGAUAGUUUCUCACGGCUUAUCUGUGGCUUAUCUAUGGUGCAACAAUUCAUUGGUAGGCGAGAAGCGGAGGAAAGGAAUAGACCUACACACUUCGCACAUGACGUACGACGCACGAACCUAAUGCUUUAAAGGAGUAGAGAUUAGGCAUGCACUAGUUUUUCAAAUAUCUUCAUAGAAUUAUGUUAUCUUGAAACAAUUAACAUGUAAUGAAAACAACGACGCAAAAUUCUUAACUCAAUCCAAAGCCAGGCUAGCAUGUGGGAUAUUUGACGUCAAAGAAUUACAGAUACCCUGUAGGUUGCCUUUGCCUUUUCCCUCUUUAUUUAAGUAAGAAUUCAUUAAUACAUUUUCGUUUGUAUAUGGUUGAUUUUAAUAAGAACUGACACCAUCAGAUGCAGGUUAUGCUAAGAUCUUCGUUGCCUCAGGGUCCUCCUGAUAUCCCUGUUUAACGUUGGCAAUCCACUCAGGAUGACAACAAGAGAUUGCCAACAAUAGCUUGGUAGCAUGACAUCGGGACAAGGCAUCAUCAGCCAAAUAAGUACUGCCUUGUUUAUAGGUAGUAAUCUUGAACUGCAAGUCAAUGAGCU
RNAcentral lists this long non-coding RNA (86665 nucleotides) under Zea mays. RNAcentral describes it as "long non-coding RNA (ZMAY_LNC002620)". Lineage: Eukaryota; Viridiplantae; Streptophyta; Magnoliopsida; Poales; Poaceae. The record is from RNAcentral.